Molecule: long non-coding RNA, 78201 nt
Filed under: Gossypium barbadense (sea-island cotton)
Lineage: Eukaryota; Viridiplantae; Streptophyta; Magnoliopsida; Malvales; Malvaceae
Description: long non-coding RNA (GBAR_LNC021276)
Rfam family: Small nucleolar RNA Z103 (bases 61662-61761)
Source: RNAcentral
CAAGUUCCCAAUGGCACUCGAGAUUGUUCCUUGUAACUGGUUAUCACUAAGACUAAGGAGCUGAAGACGGUUUAAACUGUACAAGGAGUUGGGUAUGGAUGAAUUGAGAAAAUUGAAACUAAGAUAAAGAACUUCAAGAAACGAGAUGUUCCCAAAGUAAUCUGGAAUUGGGCCUUCCAAAGAAUUGCCACUAAGAUCAAUGGACACAAGACCAUGAAGACUAAAUAUCCACUUCGGUACUGAAGAUAAGCUGUUCCCAGAAAGAUCAAGAACAACCAGUGAUUUUGUAGAAUUAACACUGGUCGGAGAUGGAUCAUUGUCUAAACCACAUUCUGACGAGUGCAACUCUAACAAAGAAGGAAGUUUGAAUGUUAUCUGUACCCAGUCAGUUGCUUUAUGAAGAUCCGCAUAACUCAAAUCAAGGUACUGCAAGGAAGAAAGUCCAGAAACCCAUUGAAGACUUUUUGAUUUGAGAUCAUUACCUCGAAGAUCAAGAUACUGCAACUUUGAAAGAUUCCCCAGGUUAUGAGGAAUUGCUCCCUGGAAUCAUGCUCGAGAGAGGUUAAGAUGUGUUAAACUCCCCAGCAUACCCAAAAAUAUCGGGAUAUGUAUGCUGCUAAAAUCGUUAUAGCUCAAGUCCAGGGAACUGAGAUGCUUCAAGUCCAGCAGUGAAGGAUUUAUUUUGCCUCGUAGUUUUGACCGCUCGUAAGGUGAAAGAGGAGCAGCCAAGUGCAGUUGGUGGACGUGACCUGUUGAGUUAUGGCAGACGACACCAAUCCAUUUACAGCAAUCCCCACCUUCAACCCAAGAAGAUAGCCUAUUUGAAGGAUCAAUAAUAUGAUUCUUGAAUUUCAAAAGAGCUUCUCUCUCACUUUGGAUGCAAAGCACGACGGAAUUGGCAUGACAAAUGGUAAAACAGAAAGCGGGAAUGAGAAGAAGAAAAGGGAAUAAGGAAAUAGGAAGAGGAGUAGUCAUGGUUGCAAUUACCAUGGCCCACAACUCCAAAUGUAUAGACUAAGCUUAGCUAAAACACAAAAAUACAUGAAGCGCAAGGAAGUUUCUUCCAACAAAAUGCAUAGGAAAUUUGGUAUGAAGGGAAAUUUCAAAUUAAUUGCAUUUAAAUUUCCACAAAAUGUAAUAUGAAUUUGGAUUAUUAAAUUAAAGAAAUGCAAUAAAGUUCAGUCAAACAAAAUGGAUGCUAUCAAGGAAGUUUUUUACAAUACCCUAAAAGCAAAAGCAUAAAAAAAGAAAGAAAAAAAAAUGGAAGACAUGGAAUUUUUCUAUUUGGCUAUUACUAUGCAAAAUUUUGAAAACUAAUACUACUUCAAAUUUGCAUAAUGAUUUUUCUGUCUUUAAACAUUUGUCGAAAAUAGAUCAAUUUAUCUUCUAUUAUGCUUUAUUUAAUCUAAACAUUUUUUUUAAAGAGAAGCCUAAUGUAAAUUUUUGAAAGUUAAAAUAUAUUCUAAGUUACUCCACACCUUAUACAUUUGGGGUUCAUUGUCGUACUUUUAUUUUUAAGAAUCUAGUCUAUAUUUUAAAUGUGUGACAUUUGAAAUUAAAAAAUAUAUAUUCACUUUAAUUUUUUCUUAAUUUAACCACUCUUGUUAAAAUAAAUUUUCAAACUAAUCACUCCUCUUAAAAUAAUUUGUUUUUCACUAAUGGAUUGUCGAGCCUCUUCCCUGUGUCUUUGUUUCCAUUGCAUUCUAUUUCAUCAUAUCACAUUCUGUUCUGCGAUAUUUGAGAAUCACCGUCUAACCUCGGUGUAGGUGUUCGGGGUAAUCAUUUGCUCCAUAGUUUUGAGGCUUUUUACAACCAGCCAAUUAAGAGUUCUCAGAUGUACUAGUACUAGCAAAUGCCUCAAAGAUGCAGUCAUCGAUUCUCUCGAGAGGCCACAAUUAUCGUGAGAAAACACAUUAAUUUAAUGACGAGGAGCACAUUUUUUUCUAUGCUACUAAUACUUCUACUUGCUCUGCUAUUCUGCUCAAGCUUGGCUGAGGAAGAUUACGGGGUGUAAAACAAAAAAAAAUGCUUAUUUUAUUUUGUUUUGGCCGGUAAUACUAUAUAUAAAUAUAAAAUAGAAAAGUAAAUAUACGAUAAAUAAUAAAGAAAAGCCACCCCAUUUCGGCAAAAGACCCACGCCCAAGUUCCAUAGCUUUGGGUCCACUAUCCCGAUCAUGAUUUUCCUACCCAAGAGGGAAAGGUCCUUCCCUUUUGGGCUGGUUGUGGCCGAAGGGGGAUUCAAACCCCUGACAUCGUAGUUUGUAGCCACGUGCUCUAAUCCUCUGAGCUACAGGCCCCAUCUCGUCUCCACUAGAUCUGUUCCAAGGAGUACCUUAGAAAAAGAACAUUUCCUCUCCCCAACUAUUUUCGGUUAAGAAGAUGUGAAAGUGUCUUUCUUUCUAUAAGAACGGUCUGUUUCGAGGUGUGAAGUGAGAGAGGGGAUUUCUUGGGGUUUUGACGUUGCACAUUCAUGACACUUUUUUUUCCUGACUUUUGAUUAAAGUUUAGAGACGUCUCUAUAAUUAAUCCAAAACACUUUAUUUUUAAAAAAAACUAGAUUAGAAGAAAAAAAUUAAAAUAUCAACGGAAUUUUUUAUUGAAUCUAUACAUAUUACCGCCCCAACUUCGACUUCAAUGUCAUUUCCACCAUAAGGUACCACCCCAACAUCCAAAGACGAUGAUGAUACCUACAAAAACAAAUAAUGAAGGAUUCAAGCAUUAAUUAUAGAAGAACCAACUCAACCAAGCAACUGCUUUUGCUUGCUUACAUUGUGGCUAAAACAGUACACUGAAACAUAUCUGUACAAGCCCAAAUUUUGCCCGGCCUAAUACCCAAACUUAAUUACAAAACCCAAAAAACAAAUUAAUCCAUAUCAAGCCCAAUUAAACCCAAAGUCUAGCCCAAAUCACAUUAACCCAACUGGCCCAAAUUACACCAGCUAACAAACUUUCAGCAGCAGAAACCCUAGGCACCACAUGCCUGCCCUAGCUGCCGCUCCUACCCCCAAGCCUAUGCCACGCCUCUAGCGCCGCAUGUGCUCUCUGCACUGCACAUCGCCGCCGGUCGAGACUCGCCAUCACCACGCGUCUGACACAUCAAUCACCUGCAACACGCAAGCAAGAAAACAACAAAAGCAACAGACAAAGGAAAAAGACAAAAAAUAGAAGAGAACAUAUAGUUCGGCUAUAAAAAGCCGAAAAUGAAACCAUUGUAAUCCUCUCCCCGAUUUUACGAAUAAAAAGACAGAGCAGAAACUUUUUUUUAAUCUUUCUUUUUCUUUCUUUUUAUUAGUAUUAUUAUUAUUUUUUCUUUAAAAAAAAUGAAAAUAAAAAAGGGAAAGCAAAACUUACCUGAGGCUGAUUCGCAGCCCCGCCGUCGGUGGUCCUUCACCGUCGUCGGAUUCGCGUUCAAAGGAGGGGGACUGAACCAUUUUCUUUCGGACCCUCGGGUCAAGAAAACUCAACCCUUGAAUACGCCGCGAAGCGAGGGCAAAUAAAGGCCAUCUUUUCGUCGCCGGCCUUUGGCCUCGGCGGCGGCGCGGCCAUUCGUUGGCAAUGACCAUGGCCGGAUAAUGGGAGGGGGCUGAGAGGAUCCCAUUUUUUUUCUUUUUGUAACAGAGGCUGCAAAUGAGGGUUUCAAUUUUUUGUAAGUAAUAAAAACAUUUAAACGGCGCCGUUUGAUGGAGAUCUGCGCAUGUUUUGCCCUAAUGGGUAAUUUGCGCAUUUGGUCCUUCCAUCUUGCGCUUGAAGCGCAAUCUGACCUUUGUUUUUUGAUUUGGACCGCGAAAUUUAUUUCUGCUUCAGUCUGGUCCUUUGACCAUGUGCGGUCAUUUGCAUUGAAACGCUGCACUCUAGGAUUGGGGCAUAUUGCCUGAUUAGUCCUCCAGCGUUUAGGCGUAUUCAAGUUCAGUCCCUGAGCUUUUUAUUUACAGUUUGAACCCCCGGAUUUUGGUUUGAUUUUAAUUUCAUCCUUUAGUUCAUUUAAUUUAUUUUUUUAAAGAAAAGGGGAGUUCCUUUAUUAUUUAUUUUAAGUUAUAUAUGUGUAUAUUUUAUUUACCUAAUAUUUUUCUUAUCGUUUGUAUUACUUGAUUUAAGUCAAUAUAAAUACAUGCAUGCAUUUUUAUAAUACACGUACAUAUUUUUCCCAAUUUAUAUGUAUUUAUACUCAUACAUAUAUUCUUUAUAUUUUAUAAUCUAUAUACCUUUUUUAUUUUCAUAUAUAUAUACAUACGUACUCAUAUAUUUUUGUCUAUAUACAUCUUUCUACUUUCACGAAUAUAUACACACUUAUAUAUAUUUUUUAUAUUUUAUAAUUUUUAUGUACAUAUAUAUAUAUUUCUUUUAAAUACAUAUAUACUUUUUAGGUUUUAUAAUUUUAAAAUACAUAUAUACGCACAUACUUUUGACAUUUUUUUAUAUAUAAAUUAUCAUUAUUUACUUACUUAUAUUUUUAUUAUUUUUAAACUUUGAUGUAUACUUACAUUCUUUAUAAUUAUAUCUAUUUACAUUUUCAUCAUUAUUUUAAAAUAUUUUAAUCUCACUUGCUUAUAUGCUUGUUUUCUUGUAUGUUGUUGAUUCAUCCUUUUUUAUUUAUCUUAUCUUUGAUGCUAUUGCUCGUAUUAUCAUUCUACUUACAUCAUCAUCAUUGUCAUCCCAUUAUACCCAUUUUUACUCAGAUUUGUAAAAAAGGAAGAUUUCGAAAAUAAAAGUAAUACUCGGUAUUUGGGAUCUUCGAGAGGAUUGAGCCCUAACGUGUUGGGUUCUCAUUUUCUUCGUCGAAUCUAAAUAAUCGAGAAUCCUCUUUAAAUAAAAAAUAAAUAAAAGCUCAUUAUCAGGAUUUCAAUAUGUUGUGUCCUAACGCAUUGGAUAUGACACGUUUUUUCUCGAUACGAGGAUUUUUCAAAAAUAAAGGCAAUAUUUCAUAUUUAGAAAAUUCGAGAAAAUCGUGCCCUAACUUACUGAGUUUCGAUUUUUCUCACGUUAAUCCUAAAUAACCGAAUAUCCUUUUAAAAUUGAAAUAAAUGAGGUUCAAACAAAAAAAAUAGAGGCAAGCUUACUCUCGAAAAUACGAUGUGUUGUGUCUUAACUUACUGGAUGUGAUAUCUUGUUACUUCGAGAUAAGAAGGCAUUUUUCCAUUUUGAUUUAUUCGAGUAAUUUUAAAAUAACACGCAUAAAAAAGGAUCGUAUUUUUAAAUUCUUUAAAGUUCUCAAUUUUCGACACCAAGACAUUAAGUAAUCAAUUAGGUAGCAAUUUUUGGGCGUAUCGAGGGUGCUAAUCCUUCCUCGUGCGUAACCAACUCCCGAAUCCGUUUUUCUGAAUUUCGUAGACCAAAAUCGUUGUUUUAAUAAAAAUUAAAUCGUUUAUUAAAAACAACCACUUUUCGAGGUGACCCAAUCACACCUCAUCAAAAAAGGAUUGGUGGCGACUCCCGUUUUCGUUUUCAUUUUCAAAAACCAAGUUGACCCCGUUUUCAUCAAAAAAAUGGUGUCAACAGCUUGGCGACUCCACUGGGGACAAAAUAAGAGAGUCAAGCCACGAGUUGAUUACUUUGUCUUUUUGUCGAAAAUGGAUAACUUGGUUUAAAUAUACGAUUCUUUCUUUGCAUUUCAUUCGUCUCUAUUUCGGUUUUUAUCGCCGUGAUAGUUUAAGCUUGGUAUGCUGCUGCAUUGCAUUGCAUGACCUUCGGUCGCACCCUUUUAAGUGGGAGUGAGAAACUAUUCCUUCGUGAGGUCUUCACCUCCGUGCAGGAUAGCGGAUCGCUUUCGGGAUACAUCCGUACCUAUGUCUUCGUGAGAUUUUCAUCUCCGUGCAGCCAUAGGGAAAUGUAUUCCCCUGAACCGAACUCAAUCCGUAUGAGCCUAUAAUGGGUGAGGAUCGAGGAAUCUGUUGGUUCGGGUACCUUUAAUUUAGAACCAAACAUCAUGUAGUGAACCUUAGGAGCCCACCCUAGAUAGAAUCACUUCGAUUCCCUAGUAUUCACCCUAAUAGGUGUUCUAUUUAUUCUUGUUUUAUUUUGCUUUGUACUAACCUGUUUUCUUUUUUUUGUUAUGAUUGCAUUGCAUUUUCAUCAUAAAAAAGAGGUGUUGAUUCACGUUCGGUUGUUAAAUAGAGAGCUUGUCAUAAGGAGAUGGGUUUCUUGAUAAAGUGGAUAAUAAUACGGUUGUCCAAAUAUGAUCCAAGAAAACGUGAUAAAAGAAGGAUGAUAGUUUAAUGGAGGACUACACAACUAUUGCUCCGUUGCCCGAGAAUUCAAGGUGACAAGGAUUAUUCGAGAGUCGCUGAACUUUCGUAAAGAGAAGCCAACGAGCAUCACGAGGAUGAGUGAUUAACGAGUCGUGGCUCGGAUCAAGCAAAAGGGAGAUAGAAGAGACGUUCUUUUGAAGAGAUCGUGAGAUUUAUCUUAACUCUCGAAUGGAGAAGAGGAUCGAAUAUCCUCGCCUAUGACGGCAAAGCCGUAUAUAUAUCCUCUUUAUGUAAAGAGAUUUAUUUUCUAGUCAAGUUGUUCUAAUAGAAUUAAAUCAAGAAUCAACGUCUCUUUUUGCAUUCAUGCAUUUGCAUUCAUGCAUCUGCAUUACAUUGCAUGCAUCUUUUUAUUCAUUAACAUUACAUUUCAUUGCAUACAAUAAAUUUCCUAAAAUCCAAAAGUCAAUUGAGUUCAGAACUUUAGUACAGAGCCAGAUAGAUGAAAAAGAAUUGGAAUUCUUUGAAUAUAUCGAUGGCUUGGAAAGUAAAGAUGUUUGUGCCUUUGAAGAAGGAACUAAAAAAACCUAUCAGGGAUUUGUUUCUACAUCCCUAAAGGCGUUCUAAACAACUGGACUGUCGAGGAUAUUCCUGUAAUUUUUAUGACCAUUUCAGAGUAAUAUUUGGAACGUUUUUAUUGCUCUAAGCUUGGGAGCAAUAGAAAAUCCUUUUGUGAAAAGGGCACAUGUCCACUAUUAUUUAUUUCAACGAAAUGCAUCUUUGUGUCUUGUUUUGGCAAACAUUCUUUUGUUCCUUCCAUUUCAUUCAUACUCAUACCACACAAAUAAUUCCCUUUUAAUUCAUUGGUUCUUUGAGUCUUCUUUCGUUCCCUAGAACAGCUCUCCAGAUAUCAACGAUAUGAGUGACAUUGCUAUUGACUCAGAACUUUCUUUUGAGCAAGAUAUGUGUCUAGAGGAACCUCAAAACUUCGAAGAUGAUCGAGACUGUAGCUUAUCUCCUGAUUUGUUAAGGAUGGUAGAGCAAGUCGAAAAAUAGAUCUUACCUUACAAAAAAAUCAGUGGGAAAUUGUGAGCUUAGGAGAGAAGAAAAAGGUAAAAAUCAGAGCCUGUAUCACCACAGAGAUAAAGCGGGACGUCAUUGAGUUACUCUGAGAAUUCAAAGAUGUUUUCGCAUGAUCAAGAUAUGCCUGAGCUACCAAGACAUGUGGAUGCUGUUGAGGCUAAAAAGUAUUAGAAAAUGUCCAUAAGGGUGUCUACGGAACACAUGCAUUGAUUUUGCAAUGGCCAAGUAAAUCAUGAGAUUUAGGUACUGCUGGUUCACCAUGGAAGGGGAUUGCAUCAGUUAUACCAAGAAACGCCACAAAGGCCAAAUUUACGGGAACAAAAUUCGUGUGCCUCUAUCUAUUCAUGUUAUGACUUUUCCAUGACCUUUCUCUAUGUGGGGGCAUAGAGGUCAUUGAGCUAAUCUCGCCAAAAGCUUCUAGCGGUCAUCGAGUCAUCUUUGUAGUCAUCGAUUACUUCAUUAGGUGGGUGGAAGCUGCUUCAUAUGCCAAUCUCACGAAGGCAACAGUCAGCAAAUUCUUAAAAAUCAUGUCAAUAUGGAAUGCCAAGAAGGGAUCAUAUUGGACCAUGUAUUGAAUUUAAACAACGGCAGAACAUCAAAAGUUUGCAAUUUGUUCAAGAUUAACACCAUAUUGUCCCAAAAUGAACGACUCAGUGGAGGCAAAAAAAAAGUAAAAAAAAGCAAAAAAAAGAACAAAAAAAUAAAAAAAAAUAAGAAAAAAACCUCUACCGGGGCAACUCAUUUCUCACUAGUAUAUGGAAUAGAGGUAGUUUUACCCAUUAAAGUUGAUAUUUCUACCCUUCAAGUCUUGUCAGAGCUAAAUUUGGAUGAAGAAAAUCCAAGCCCGAUAUGUACAGUUAAAUUUGAUUGAAGAGAAAAUGUUGAAAGCUAUCCAUCAUGGUUAAAUGUACCAAAAGCGAAUGAUGCGAGCUCACCAAAAAGGUUCCCCCAAAAAAAAUUCCUUGAGGGGGACCUGAUAUCGAAGAAGAUCCUUCCCAUACAAAAGUACUUUAGAAGAAAGUGGAUCCCAAACUGAAAGGACCUUAUGUGGAAAGUCUUAUCUGGAAAAGCAUUGAUAUUGAUCGAGAUGGAUGGCAAAAAACCUGCCUAAUCUUGAGAAUUCUGAUUCAAGCAAUAAGUACUUCAUUUGAAAAAAAAGAAACGAAAAAGAAAAAAGAAAAUAAGAAUGAAAAAAGAAAAAGGAGAGGCCAAGGUGAAAACCCGCAAAGGGCGCCUUGAGACCAAAGGGGUUUUGAAUUGAAAACCCAGGAAUGGGCAGUUCAAAUUUUGAUUGAAGGUGGGGCAUGCAGUAGUCUUGCCCUCUCUGAAUUAAUAAGAAGGAGAGAUGCUACAUCUUGGUGCAUCAACAAAGUCUUCUAGGACUUCUAGACACAUAUCAAGUUCAAAAGGGUCCUCAAGAAGUUUCGGGCAGAGAAGCUCAUGCUACGAUAUCUGGGGCACCUAUUUCCAUUUUAUUCAUUUUUUGUAUUUUUGACAAAAUACACCAUCUUGAUUAAUUUAUUCUCAUUUUGUAUUCUACCAAAUUUGCUAUCUUGAUUAAUUUGUUCAUUUAGAGCUUUGCUCUCAACAAAUUUCCAUCUUAUCCAUUAUGAUAAUCUUUUUCAUCUUAUACAUCUCGUAUCUCAGCAAAAUUUGCUGUCUUGAUUGAUUUGUUUGUUUAGAGCUUUGCUCUCAACAAAAUUUUAUUUUGUCCAUUUUGAUAAUCUUUUUCAAGCAAUUUUCAUUGAAAUAACGAUUAAUGGACUGACAAUACUCAUGCAGAAGGAGUUCUGCAUAUUACUCUGAAAGUUUCUAAAUAAUACGAGGACCUGAAACAAGACUAUUGUUUAGAACUGACCAAACCUGAGGGUUGAAAACAUUUGAGAAAUGAUGGUCUAAAUUGAGACUAUUUCUUUGAAUCUUCUGUCAAAGAUACUUGCUGAACGAGAAAACAUUAGUGAUAGAACCUUGAUGAACAACGAGCAACGACAACCCAAACUUUAAAAAGGGAUCAUUUUCAUGACAUUCUGCAUUCAUUCAAAUGUCAUUCAUACACAUCUAGUUUGGAGCAUUUGAUUCAAUCUGAUCAUGUCAUCCUAAUCACUAGGCAUAAAUAGGUUCAUAAAAUAGAUUAUACAGGUCAUGUUCCCUAGAGAACAAAUCAGUAAAAACCGAAGACAAACCUUGUCUCUCUUGGUUGUAGCAGAGCUGGUUGAAGACAACAGAUCUUGCCUUCCUGCAUUGACGGCGAAGCAGAUCGAAGACACAAACCUUGCCUCUCUCGGUUGUAGCAGAGCUGGUUGAAGACAACAGAUCUUGCCUUCCUGCAUUGACAGCGAAGCAGAUCGAAAACAAACCUUGCCUCUCUCGUUUGUAGCAGAGCUGGUUGAAGAUAGCAGAUCUUGCCUUCCUGCAUUAACAGUGAAGCAGAUCGAAGACAAACCUUGCCUCUCUCGUUUGUAGCAGAGCUGGUUGAAGAUAGCAGAUCUUGCCUUCCUGCAUUGAGAAUGAAGCAGAUCGAAGACUAACCUUGCCUCUCUCGUUUGUAGUAGAGCUGGUUGAAGAUAGCAGAUCUUGCCUUCCUGCAUUGACAGCGAAGCAGAUCGAAGACAAACCUUGCCUCUCUCGUUUGUAGCAGAGUUGGUUGAAGAUAGCAGAUCUUGCCUUCCUGCAUUGACAGCGAAGCAGAUCGAAGACAAACCUUGCCUCUCUCGUUUGUAGCAGAGCUGGUUGAAGAUAGCAGAUCCUGCCUUCCUGCAUUGACAGCAAAGUAGAUCGAAGACAAACCUUGUAUCUCUCAUUUGUAGCAGAGCUGAUUGAAAAUUCCAGAUCUUGCCUUACCGUAUUUGGCAGCGAAGCAGAUCGAAGAUGACAAAUUUUACCUCCCUGACUAUAGUGGAGUACAUUGAAGCCGAUAACUCUAUCUCCCUGUAUUUGGCAGUGGAAUAGAUUGAAGAUUGUAGAUCUUGCCUUCCUGUAUUUGGCAGCGAAGCAGAUCGAAGAUGGUAGAUUUUACCUCCCUGACUACAGUGGAGUACAUUGAAGCUGAUAACUCUAUCUCCCUGUAUUUGGUAGUGGAAUAGAUUGAAGAUUGCAGAUCUUGCCUUCCUGUAUAUGGCAGCGAAGCAAAUCGAAGAUGGCAGAUUUUACCUCCCUGACUACAGUGGAGUACAUUGAAGCCGAUAACUCUAUCUCCCUGUAUUUAGCAGUGGAAUAGGUUGAAGAUCAAAGAUGGCAGAUUUUACCUCCCUGACUAUAGUGGAGUACAUUGAAGCCAAUAAUUCCAUCUCCCUAGGCAGCAGUGGAAUAGAGUGAAGAGUACAGAUCUUUUCUCCCUAAGCAGUAGUGGAGCAGAUCACAUCCAGUCUUAUCUCCCUAAGCAGUAGUGGAGCAGACGAAAAAAAAAACAAUCUCAUCCCUAUAGAGUUGCAGCAGAGAAGAUUGAAGUCAUAUCUCUCUAAAGAUGUCGUAAAGUGGAUCAAAGCAACAAGACACAGUGGACUGGAGUGAAACUACUUGAAGAAGAGAAGCGUCAAAAGAAGUCGAGACUCGGUGAGACCGGGCAAAAUUGGUCUUUCUUAGUCUUUGCUCUGUUCUCGUUACACGACAACGAGCAAAGAGGGGCAGCUGUACAAGCCCAAAUUUUUCCCGGGCCAAUACCCAAACUUAAUUACAAAACCCAAAAAACAAAAUAAUCCAUAUCAAGCCCAAUUAAACCCAAAGUCUAGCCCAAAUCACAUUAACCCAACUAGCCCAAAUUACACCAGCUAACAAACUUUCAGCAGCAGAAACCCUAGGCACCACAUGCCUGCCCCUAGCUGCCGCUCCUACCCCCAAGCCUAUGCCACGCCUCUAGCGCCGCAUGCGCUCCCUGCACUGCACGUCGCCGCCGUCGAGACUCGCCAUCACCACGCGUCUGACACAUCAAUCACCUGCAACACGCAAGCAAGAAAACAACAAAAGCAACAGACAAAGGAAAAAGACAAAAAAUAGAAGAGAACAUAUAGUUCGGCUAUAAAAAGCCGAAAAUGAAACCAUUGUAAUCGUCUCCCCGAUUUUACGAAUAAAAAGACAGAGCAAAAACUUUUUUUUAAUCUUUCUUUUUCUUUCUUUUUAUUAGUAUUAUUAUUAUUAUUUUUUCUUUAAAAAAACGAAAAUUAAAAAGGGAAAGCAAAACUUACCUGAGGUCGAUUCGCAGCCCCGCCGUCGGCGGUCCUUCACCGUCGUCGAAUUCGCGUUCAAAGGAGGAGGACUGAACCAUUUUCUUUCGGACCCUCGGGUCAAGAAAACUCAACCCUUGAAUAAGCCGCGAAGCGAGGGCAAAUAAAGGCCAUCUUUUCGUCUCCGGCCUUUGGCCUCAGCGGCGGCGCGGCCAUUCGUUGGCAAUGACCAUGGCUGAAUAAUGGGAGGGGGCUAAGAGGAUCCCAUUUUUUUUCUUUUUGUAACAGAGGCUGCAAAUGAGGGUUUCAAUUUUUUUAAGUAAUAAAAACAUUUAAACGGCGCCGUUUGAUGGAGAUUUGCGCAUGUUUUGCCCUAAUGGGUAAUUUGCGCAUUUGGUCCUUCCAUCUUGCGCUUGAAGCGCAAUCUGACCUUUCUUUUUUUUUUGAUUUGGACCGCGAAUUUUGUUUCUGCUUCAGUCUGGUCCUUUGACCAUGUGCGGUCAUUUGCAUUGAAACGCUGCACUCUGGGACUGGGGCAUAUUGCCUGAUCAGUCCUCCAGCCUUUAGGCGUAUUCAAGUUCAGUCCCUGAGCUUUUUAUUUACAGUUUGGACCUCAGAUUUUGGUUUGAUUUUAAUUUCAUCCUUUAGUUCAUUUAAUUUAUUAUUUUUUUUAAAAAGAAAUGGGGAGUUCCUUUAUUAUUUAUUUUAAGUUAUAUAUGUGUAUAUUUUAUUUACCUAAUAUUUUUCUUGUCGUUUGUAUUACUUGAUUUAAGUCAAUAUAAAUACAUGCAUCCAUUUUUAUAAUACACGUACAUAUUUUUCCCAAUUUAUAUGUAUAUAUACUCAUACAUAUAUUCUUUAUAUUCUAUAAUCUAUAUACCUUUUUUAUUUUCAUAUAUAUAUACAUACGUACUCAUAUAUUUUUGUCUAUAUACAUCUUUCUACUUUCACGAAUAUAUACACACUUAUAUAUAUUUUUUAUAUUUUAUAAUUUUUAUGUACAUAUAUAUAUUUCUUUUAAAUACAUAUAUACUUUUUAGGUUUUAUAAUUUUAAAAUACAUAUAUACGCACAUACUUUUGACAUUUUUUUAUAUAUAAAUUAUCAUUAUUUACUUACUUAUAUUUUUAUUAUUUUUAAACUUUGAUGUAUACUUACAUAUAUAUCUUCUUACAUUCUUUAUAAUUAUAUCUAUUUACGUUUUCAUCAUUAUUUUAAAAUAUUUUAAUCUCACUUGCUUAUAUGCUUGUUUUCUUGUAUGUUGUUGAUUCAUCAUUUUUUAUUUAUCUUAUCUUUGAUGCUAUUGCUCGUAUUAUCAUUCUACUUACAUCAUCAUCAUUGUCAUCCCAUUAUACCCAUUUUUACUCAGAUUUGUAAAAAAGGAAGAUUUCGAAAAUAAAAGUAAUACUCGGUAUUUGGGAUCUUCAAGAGGAUUGAGCCCUAACGUGUUGGGUUCCCAUUUUCUUCGUCGAAUCUAAAUAAUCGAGAAUCCUCUUUAAAUAAAAAAUAAAUAAAAGCUCAUUUUCGGGAUUUCAAUAUGUUGUGUCCUAACGCAUUGGAUAUGACACGUUUUUUCUCGAUACGAGGAUUUUUCAAAAAUAAAGGCAAUAUUCCAUAUUUAGAAAAUUCGAGAAAAUCGUGCCCUAACUUACUGAGCUUCGAUUUUUCUCGCGUUGAUCCUAAAUAACCGAAUAUCCUUUUAAAAUUGAAAUAAAUGAGGUUCAAACAAAAAAAAUAGAGGCAAGCUUACUCUCAAAAGUACGAUAUGUUGUGUCCUAACUUACUGGAUGUGAUAUCUUGUUACUUCGAGAUAAGAAGGCAUUUUUCCAUUUUGAUUUAUUCGAGUAAUUUUAAAAUAACAAGCAUAAAAAGGAUCGUAUUUUUAAAUUCUUUAAAGUUCUCAAUUUUCGACACCAAGACAUUAAGUAAUCAACUAGGUACCAAUUUUUGGGCGUAUCGAGGGUGCUAAUCCUUCCUCGUGCGUAACCGACUCCCGAACCCGUUUUUCUGAAUUUCGUAGACCAAAAUCGUUGUUUUAAUAAAAAUUAAAUCGUUUAUUAAAAACAACCACUUUUCGAGGUGACCCAAUCACACCUCAUCAAAAAAAGGAUUGGUGGCGACUCCCAUUUUCGUUUUCAUUUUCAAAAACUAAGUCGACCACGUUUUCAUCAAAAAAAUGGUGUCAACAAUAUCAAUAUCAAUACGUAUCAAAAUCAAUAAAAAUGAUACAUCCAUUAAUACGAUACUGACUUUCUUACUUAAACCAUUUAAUCAUUUUAAGUUAUCGAGUAAAUAUUAUGAUAUUAGAUUAAAACAAUAACAAGUUACUUAAACCAUUUAAUCAUUUUAAAUUAUCGAGUAAAUAUUAUGAUAUUAGAUUAAAAAAAUAACAAGUCAACUUACGCAAUCUUAUUUCUAAAUUGAUAAAAUCAAUGUGGAAAUACAGGCAAAUUUAUUGAUUUAUAAUAAGAGAUUUGCAUUAUCUUUUUUUUUUAUAAAUUAAACAAAGAAUUACAUAGAGUAGCAAAAGAACUGUCAUCCUUUAAGAUUUCUGUAAUCUCUAAAGGGGAUCCUCAAACAUAUGCAAAGAUUCAUCACUCAAUAGAGCCAUUUUUGCCAAAGCAUCAGCUGCUCAAUUAGUCUCUCUGGGAACAUAAAUCAAGGACCACUUCUCUUCAAAGGUUAGGAUUUGUUGAAUCCUCCUUAUCAGGGAGUUUUUUGGACCACCAAGCUUACUUUCACUGAUAGAAAUCACAUUUUCAAGAUUAUUUGAUUGAAUAAUGACCUUGUCGUAACCUUGUUUCUGAAGGAGAAGUAGACCAUCCAAUAAACCCUACAUUUAAGCAACCGCUACUGAACAUUUCCCCAAAAUGCGAUUGUAACCUAGGAUCCACUUCCCUUUGCUAUUGCGUAUCACACCACUUGCAGCAGAGAAACCAGGCACAUAGUGAACAACACCAUCAGUAUUAAGGAAAACACACAUACUUGGAUUUUGACGAGCUGAAGUCUGUUUUGGUUGAGAAACCAACACUUCAUUAUGGAUAGAGAGAAAAUGUUUCACCCAACUAUAAGAGACAUUGAUAAUAUCCUUUAGAUUCAUAGCAUUCCCUUGAAAAAUGAUCGAAUUAUUAUUUUUCCAAAUGCUCCAAAGAAUAAUCCCAAAGAGGCAAGCCCAAGAUGAGUCACUCUUCUUGUUGGUAGAAAGAGAUCGCAAAUUCGAGAAAAGCCACGCCGAAAUAUUAGCAGAAAAAAACUUCCAAGAUGAUUAGCAGGGAUGACAUGAUACCAAAUUUCCCUCGCAAAAGAACAACCCCUAAGGAUAUGAAGGGUAUCCACCAUAAUAUGGCCACAAAGAUGACACAACGCGUCUCACGCAAUAACUUUUCUAACUCUUUCAGAGUUAGUUAACAGUCUUUGUUUAAGAAUUAACCAGAUGAACUGCUUGACACGUUGGGGCACUAAAAUUUUCCAUACCAUACUCCAAUUCACCUUCUUUGGAUUCCAAGACUCCUCCUUCAGCAUAUAAUAAGCACUCUUCACAGAAAAGACAUCGGUCGUCGUUCUAGACCAAAAUAGAAUAUCUGGCCCAGCUAAGUCUAAAGGAGGAGGAAUGCUAAUGAUUCGUUUAACCACUUCUUCUGGCAGCCACAAUUUGAAAAGAUCAAGGUUACAAUCGCCAUUAACCAAAACCAUUUCAUUAACUUUGCUCUCAGGAACAAUGUUGCCAUGACUCGGAACAUAUUGAUUAAGAGGUCUCACAUUAGAGACCAAUUGUCCUCCCAACAACGAACAGUCUUCCAAUUUCCAAUGAACCAGAUCAUAUUACUGCGCAAUGGAGGCCAAGCUUUGGCAACUGCUUUCCACUUAUAGGAGCAACUGUUCCUCAUAAUAGAGUACUCCGACAUACUUUCACACAGUCCAUACUUAACUCUAUGGACCUGAACCCAAAGAGCUUCAGUCUUAGUAAUAAGGCUGUAACCAAUCUUCAACAUGAAAGCUUUGUUCUGAUCCCUCAAACAUCGAAAAUUGAGACUUCUGUGUAGCUUAGGCUGACAGAUAUCAUCCCACCCCAAAGCUAUUUUCCUUUUCCCGUCCGUAGCACCCCAAAUGAAUUGUCUUGCUAAUUCUUCAAUAGAGUCACAAAUUCCUUUAGGGACUAGAGUCGACUGCAUGAGAUAACUUGAGAUAGACAAUAGAACUGAUUGUGCUAAGCUAACCCUUCCAGCAAAGAAAAGUCUCUUAGCAUCCCAACUAUAAAGUCGAAUACGAACUCUUUCCACCAAAAAAUCUAAGAUGCUAUUAGUAACUCUUCGAUGAAAAAGUAAAACCUCGAGAUAGUGACCCAAAUCAUUAACUUCUUGAAAACCAAACAUGUUAUUAAUUUUAUUCCUUAAAAGUUCGUUAACCCCCAUAGAAAAGAACACAUUCAUUUUCCUGGCAUUUACCUUGUGACCAGAUAACUCACAAAAGUUACUCAAAAAUUUCUUGAGGAGACCACUAUGAAUCAAAUUAGCUCGACUAAAAAUCACCAAGUCAUCUGCAAAAAAUAGGUGUGAAAGAUUCGGUCCUAUGCAUGAUAAUCGAAUGGGGCUCCACUCCCCUGAAGAGAUACUCGUGUGAAUCUAUGGCCCAACCAUUCCAUACAGAGGACAAAGAGGUAUGACGACAGAGGACAGCCUUGUCGAAUACCCCUUAUCGGCCUAAACUUUUGUGGUGGCGCACCAUUUCAUAAAACCUGCAUAGAGGAUAACGAGAUAGCAUUCUUAAUAACUUUAACCAAAUGAGAAGGAAUAUCUGCUGCAUUGAGAGAAGCUUUUACAAAGUCCCAUCUGACUAUAUCGUAAGCCUUCUCUAAAUCAAUCUUGAUUGCCAUCCAUUGGAGAUUUUUAUUAGUUCUCAUAGAAUGUAAAACUUCCUGAGCGAUAAUGAUGUUAUAGAUAAUAUUUAUUCCAGCAAUGAAGCCCUCUUAUUCUUAACUUGUGAUCUUCAGGAAGAUAUUCUUAGAUCUAUUAGCAAUGGCCUUUAUGAUCAACUUGUGCAACACAGAGCAAAGGCUGAUAAGCUGGAACUGUGAGAAUUUUUUUGGGUUUGGAACUUUAGGGAUUAACACAAUAAGUGUGUUAUUGAACUCCGGGUCGAUGGAACCUCCCUCAAAAAUCUUCUUGACCCACUCACAAAUAGCAUCCCCAAUAUUAUCCCAUUGAUUUUGGAAGAAAGCGGCAUGAAAAUCAUCACUACCUGGGGCUUUCAAGGGUGCCAUGUCGAAAAGAGCAUCCUUAUUUUCUCGUCCGUAACAUUUCUCCCAAGAAAAUCAACAUCUUUAAUACUAAGGCAAUGAAAAGCACUAGGAGGAAGAAUUCCUAGCGGGCUUGGAUUCUCUCCCAUAAAGAUUCUGGAAAAAAAUUAACCGUUUCGUUCUUAAGAACCUCAGGAUAAAAAAUCCAAUCCCCAUCAACAUUACGUAAAGCAGUGAUUUUAUUGAAAUUCCUUCUCUGAACUAUGCGUCUAUGGAAGUAGCUAGUGUUACGGUCCCCAAUUUAAGCUACUCGAAUCUUGAUUUUUUCUUCCAGAGCAUGUCCUCAUGAUGAAGAAUAUUUUCAAGCUCAUCUCGAAUCAUUAAUUCCUGAUGAAUAAGAGAAUUAGACCCCAAAAGGUCCAAAGGCAUGCUGGAUUUUAGAAAGCUUAUGCAUUAACUGCCUCUUCCUCUGGUUUAUAUGUCCAUAAACACAGUUGUUCCACCUUUUAAGCUUAUCAGUAAAACUAACAAUCGCACUAGUCAUAUUAUCAUCUAAACUCUAAUUUCCCUUGACAAAAUUAGAGAAAUUUUGGUGGUGCAGCCAGCCAGCUAAGAACCGGAAGGGACGAUUAGGAGCAUAUCUAAAUUCAUGGAAAAAAUUUAAAAGAAGCGGUCAAUGAUCAAAUUUUAUUCUAGGUAAAUGGGAAAUCGAACAAUUAGGAAAAGAUUCCAUCCAAACGUCGCUACCCACAGCCCUAUCAAGUCUUUCGGAGAGAUUGCCUCGAUGCCAUGUAAAAGGAGGCCUUUGAAAACCCAUAUCAUGCAAUUGAGCUUUAUCCAUAAACUCACCAAAAAACUGGCAUCUGCGACCUUUGACAUGAUCGCCUUUUUUAUCAUUUGAAGAGAGGAUGGUGUUAAAAUCUCCAAUGGCCAUCCAAGGAUCAUACCCAAGUGGAAUUGAGCGACUUAAAUCAUUCCAAAAAUUUUCCUUUUCAGUUUGUCAAGGCUCCCAUACACAAAAGCAACAAAGACCAGAUUAGGAUACAUAUUAGAACAAAUAUGAGCCAAAAUGAAAUGAUGAUGAUUACCAACCACAUUCAAAUCAAUCAAAAUUUUCCAUCCAAUCCAAAUACCUCCAGAAAAUCAUACCACUUCCACACGAUGAGACGUAUCCCAGCCUAACUUUGCAAUGAUAGUGUCAGCUUUGGUCCCACUAAUUCUUGGUCCCACUAAUUCAUAGAAUCAGCAAAUGGAACCCAGAUAUUUUUAAAAUUUUUGUAACGAUUACCUGGUCCUUUUAAAGUUUUAUUAAGUUUCCAACCUCCUUUUAUACCAGUCACUUUAGCAUUUUGUCCCUUAAAAACCUCCCUAGGAAAUUUAUUCCAAACGAAGGACCAUCACCCCCAUCUCCUCACUCACGGUCUCCAGAAUAUUUCUAUUUGUGAACACAACUGCCGAAUGAUUUUUGACCUCCAAAACGCCUUCCUUCACCUCCACAUUAACAAAAGAAUUCUUUUCAAAAGCAGGAUUAAAGUGCACUACAUGUUCUACUUGCUUUUGGAGAGAAAAAUGGGGGUCCACUUGUACUUGAUCUGCAUCAACAACAUUUUUUGAAUCUAAAACUAAAGGAAAAAAAGAGACAGAAUUACCUAAAAUUAAAGAUCAGUAGUUUCUUUCAGCACUUGGCAAAGAAUCAUGCGUGGCACUAGAGAGUUUAGACAAGUCUACUGCAGAUUCUUUCGGAUCCUGGACCUCUUGCUGCAACCCACUGCUAACAUUGUUAGGGGCCUGCUCGUUACUAAUCGAAGGAGUCAAAAUUUUUACCGCCAAAGAAACCUACGGAUCUGGGCCCAUCUUAGUCCCACCUGUGGAAUGGUUAAUCAGAAGGUUAGUGGCCUGAGAGACACAGGCUUGACCCUUUAGAUUUUUUCGCACCAACAGGCCCAAGUUGGAUUUUUUAGAACCAUCACUAGCAGGUUUUUUACCCUUUGAAGGUUUAGCUUGGGAACCAAUUAAAACAGCUUUCCCUUUUUUCUUCAAAUCUUUCUGGGGUUCUUUAAUCAUUUCCUUUUCCAUUGAAGUCGCCUCCAAAUUAACUAAAGAUUGAUAAUGUGAUCCCAUAGUUUUCUCCCCUUUAGAAUUGUUUCCUUUUUUAGUGCCAUCCAAGGUGCCGCGUCUGGUCUUCCGCUCCACUAGCAUCUAGGGACCAUAGUAUCCAGGGACCAUAGUCUCCUUCUCCGGCUGCUGCAGAAAUUACAGCAGCUUAUUCUGAUGACUCACCCUUCUCUUUUGCCCCUGAGGUUUGUGUGACUGAUGAAUAGGUUUCUUUAGUAUGACCAUAACAACCACACUUAAAGCAAACCACAGGUAGGUUUUCGUAUUUUAUCCUUUGAGGGCUAACGGUCACCGUAAAUUGACAAAAACUUCCAUAUGAGCGUUUAAAAAUGUCGCUAUAGGCCUAAAAAAAUACCGCUAAAAGCCUGUUUUGCUAUAGUGGUGUUAAAAUCCAACUUUGUUACUUUACCUAUCAUUCCCCCAAUCUUCAUGUGAAUCUAUUUUUAUAAAAGUGACUGGGAAGAUCGGGAAAACGAAUCAAUGUGAGAACCAAAUUAGGGUAAGGUAAAUUGGGAUUGAAAUCAAUCGUCCAAGGCUGGACGGUAAGGUAAUGACCGAAAAUAACCCACGGACCCUGAGAAAUGAUCUUGUCAUAGUCUUCAUGCUCUGAAAUUUUGCAAGAAAAUAACCAUUCUCAAUAUCCAUUAAUUGAAAAGGCUUAGAUGGUCUCCAAAUCCCAUAUAAUCUAUUUUGCAAAGUCGUGAUUCCAAGGUUUCGUCCCAACAUCUUGAGUACCACAGAGGUUGACAUUUUCUUUUCCAAAAGUUGAUAAACUCUCUUUGAGAAAUCAAUGGAAGGGACACCAUCAACAAAAGAUUUCUUGACAUCCUGCUCUGUAAGGGAGAAAUUAUUAGCAAAGUAUUGGCCAUCACUUUUAUUAAUCUGAUCAAAAGUUUCCUUCGCCACUAGCAUAUCCUUCCAUGACAGCGAAGGCAUUGGUAGUGGAUCCACAACCAUCACAUCUUCAGGAGUCGCGUCCGACUCCUUAAAUUGAACCUUCUUUGUGUUAGAAUCCUCAGGAAUAGAGACAUCUUCUCUAUUCCCGUUCACAGUAGCAACCGAUGAAGACGAGAGACAUCUUCUUUUGGGAAAAAAAAGGCCGGCAUCGUCCAUAGAAUCAGUCAAUUUUAAUUAAUUAAAAUUUUCGUAUAUAAAUAUCAAAUUAUUUUCGUAUAUAACACUAUUUUUACUGUGAUUGAGCAACUAAGGUCAGUUCUUUAUUGAGUCUAAGUUCUAAAAAACACUUUCCACCGCAAAAGUAAUAAAGAAGGCUUGAUUUUUAGAGUCAAAAUUAUGAUGAAAAAGUGCUUAAUUACUUUUAGGUUUUGACUCAGUGGCGGAUCUACGUAGUGGGGUUAAUGGAAAAUUGUCCAUUUAGAUAUUUUUAAAAAUUUUAAAUUAAUAAAAAUAAAAUUACACUUCAACCCUUCUUAAAAAUUUGAUUUAAUCUUUUAAAAAUUAUAAAAAUUAAAAUUUAAUUUCAAACUCUAACCUCCCCUGUUUUAACUUUUAGAUUUUAAAGUAAAAUUAUCAAAAGCUAAUAUUUAGAUAAAUUUAUAAUAACUAUAGUUUUUGACCAACUAUUAUAGUAAUAAUAGAUGAAAGACGAUCAUAAAUUAUGAUUUCCUUUUCUCUGAGAUCAUUCAUUGGAAUUUUCAAUUUUUUUUAUUGCACAUAAAGUUUCCUAUUUAUUUCCUCUUCACAAUCACAGAGGACAAAUGGUUUCGUCUUGAGUUUUGUGAAUAAAGUUUUUGUUACCAAAAUUUAGUAAAAUUAUUUAUGUUUUUAAAUCUAAUCGGCCCAUAAAUCAAAAUGGAUUGGCCCUGAGCUCACAACAGAAAUAUUUAGGAGGAAAAUGAUUUCUACGUUUGUUUCAUUGAAAAUGACUUUCGGAAAAUGAUUUACUUUUCUGAAAAAGCUAAUAUUUUCUGGUGUUUGGAUAAAUCUGUGUAAAAUAUUUUCUUUUGUUUGGCAGGUUCUUUAAAAAUAUUUCAUAAAAGUCGUUUUCAAUUAAACAAACAUACAUUUGAGAUUUUUUUUUAUUUUUUUAUUGUUUAAUUGAGUUUAUUUUAUAUUUAUAAUUUUAUAUUUAACAUUGUUUUUACAUAUAAUAAAAUUAUUUUGUUAAAUUUAGGUUCAUUGCAACGAUUAUUUUUUAGUUACAUGACUAUCAACUGAGUAUUUUUUUAUUUAAAAAUAUGACAUUAACAUGUCAACAGUUAGACUUGAUUUUCAAAUUUGGAAAGUAGAGAGAUUAAAUUCUUGAAAAUAAAAGUACAGAAACUAAAUUGCAAAUUUGUGAAGAGUAUAUAGACUUAUGACAUAUUUUAACAUUUAUAUUACAAAACAUUUAUUAUUAAUAUAUUUAUAAUUGUAAUAAAUAUUUAGUAUUAAAAUAUUAAUAUUGAUAUUUUCAAUAAUAUGUGAAUAAUAUUAUUUAAAAUUAUUAUUUUUAAAAUUUACUAUUAAAAUAAAAUUUAAAUAUUAAAUAAUUUAUUAAAAAUAAUAAAUUAUUUUAAUUAUAUUAAUAAUUUAUUAUAUGGCUAAAUAUAAAUAAUUAAAUACGUAUGUUUAAUAAUAUUAAAAAAUAUAAUAUUUUAUAUUAAUAUUUUAAUAAUUUUAAAUAUUUUUAAAAAUAAAAAUAAAAUUUAUUAUCAAUAUAAUAAUAUUAAACUUGAUUUAAGUUAAUUAUUAUAUAAAAGUAAAAUUAUCUAUUGAGGAGCUCUUUUCCGGAAGAUGACUUAUGUUUUUCAAAAGGGUAAGCCAUUUUACAAGGAAAAAUGUUUAUUUUCCGUUGACCAAACUGUUUUAUGUGAAACAAGCACAGGAAAAUGCAGAAAAUAUUUUUCGUAAAACCUUUUACAUAUAAACAAACGGACCCUAAUUUUUUUCUUUUGGUCCAAAAUGUUUAGAUUUGGGAUUUCAUCCUUUUGGAUAUUUAAAAUUUCAAGUUUACCUUUAUAGUGUUUUAAAAUAAAAUCUGAAAAUUUUUCUCUCGUGUAAAAAAAUAUUUAUGACAUCAGGGGUGAAGUCAAAAAAUUAUUUUUUGGGAGCUAGAAUUAAAUUAUAUAUUUUUAUCGUAAAAAUAUAAUUUCACCAUUUUAAUAGCCUAUAUCCUUAUAAUUUUUAAAAGAUUAAAUCAAAUUUUUAUCAAUUUAGAGGGACUAAAAUGUAAUUUUACCAUUACUAAUUUAAAAUUUUAUAAAUUAUAAAGGGGUCUAAAUGAAAAAAAAUUCAUUUUAGAGGGGUGGGCCCCUGCCAGCCCCCUUGGCUACGCGCAUGUAUGGAAUAAUGUCAAGUUAAGCCCUUAACAUUUACAUUUGUUGUAAAUUUGACCCUUAUUUUUUUGAGCUAAAUUUGGCCACUAAUCUUUUAAUUGAUAUUAAUCAUAUCAAUUUAUUUGAGUAAAAUAUUUUUAUAAACUUAAAUUAUUACUUUUAAAAACUCAUGGUAGUUGUACAAUUUGUAUCAAUCGAAAUGCUCCCUUUCAAUAGUAAACUAGAAUAAUAAAUUUUAGGUCUCGUUCCAGUGCAAAUUUCAAUUGAUAUUAAUCAUAUCGAUAUGUAGUGGUUAAUUUCACUUAUACCAGCCAUAAAAUGAUGUACCAUGUUGAUGUUAUUUGUUUUAAUUAUUUUAAAUUGUGUAUGUUGUUUAGUUUAACUUUAUGAUGUAACUCAAGUUUAUGUUUUCUUAAAACAUAUAAUUUUUACACGUUAAAAAAUAAUAGUAAAGCCCCUGCGAAAGCAGGGGUUAAUUCUAGUUAUAGGUGAAAGACCACGUUAUUGACCCAAAAGUUCAAUUAUGAUUUCCUUCUCCAUGGCAUCAUUCACUGUAAUUUUCAAUUUCUUUUUAUCAGUUUCCCAAAUUUCCUAUUUAUUUCCUCUUGACAGUCACUGACGACAAAUAAUUUCAUGUUCAGUUUUCUCAAUUAAGUUUUUGUUACGAACGUUGCAAAAUUCCCUAUUUAUAGAACAUUUAUUAUUAACUUAACAUAAAAUCUAAUAUAGUAGAUGUUAAUUAUGUAAAUACAAAAGAUUUUAUUAUAUUAUAUUGUUAGGUAUGAUACUAUUUGAGAGAAUAGAACCAGAAUAAGUACUAAUGAUAGCUCACGAGUUAUUUAAUUUGAGACAUUCAAAUCUUUAAAAUAUAGUUAAGUGGACAUUUUCUCAUAUUAACAUCACCUCAAUAUAACAUAAAAAAAAGAGGUUAAAUUGUAUUAACAUUUUGCAUACUUUAUAACUUUAUUCGUAAGCGGAAAUAAGAUGAUUUAUAUUUUGAAGAGUGCAUGAAAAAGGAAGAACUUGAUAAUUUUAAUAAUAUAAAUUCAUGUUAAAAAAGGAGUAUAUAUAAAUGUUAAAAAAAGGAAUAAUUCAACAAAUAUGCAAUGUUAAAACAAUUAAAUAACAUUGUAUAUGAUUUUUAUUACUCUUGUUAUUUUUAUUAAUAAUUGUAUUAUUGACUAUUUUCUUAGACUAACAUGUUGCUUAUAAUGAUCUGAUUUCAAUUUUUGUUACUCGUGUUAUUAAUAUUUGGUUCCUCUUAAAUGAACCAAAACAUCAUCUUUUAUUCAUAUUAAACGAUCUCAAAAAACUACUCUUAUCGAAUUACGUUCCAAACAAUUAGCGAUUUGCACAGGAGUUACGGUUUUGUUUCUUCAACUAGUGGCAUUUGUCGGUUUGCUUUCCUCCUACACUUUUCUUUAGUUUUGUUGGGAUUCUUAGUUUCUAGGCGUUGUGUUGCGUGGCAGCCUCACUGUCAAUUUGGCUUGCGUGUAAUGCUUUUUGUUUUGAAGAGAAGAGCUGGGAUGUUAAUGAUACCAUCUUCCUUGUAAAGAUCAGAUCCUUGUUUUGGCUUCGAGCUUCAUAUGUUGAUCUUAACCUCCGAGAAUCUAUUUGGUGGGAGUGUCCUUUGUUCUUAUCUCCAACAACCCCUUCAAAGGAUUCGAAUAGGUAUUUUUUUGUUCCCUCCGCCUUUUAGCUGCUUUAGAGUCAACAUUCCAGGGGGACCAAGUCCCGCCGGUUUUGGUGUCCUUUGUCCUAAUAUUUUCUUUAAUAAUUAAUGGAAAACAAAAAAAAAAAUUAUAUGUUCACCGUCUUAAGUAUGGCUUGAAUUCGAGUCACGAUAAGUGCAUUGCUAUUAGGACUUUGCUCUCUUUUUGUAAAAAAAAGAAAAAUUCCAAUCUAUGUUUGGCUCUUACCUAAAAUAUUUUAGGCAUUCUAUGGAUUUAAUUGUUUAGUGAAAUUAUAACUCUUACAAUAUAAUUAUUACACUUCCAUUGAAAGUUAACUAUUUUAUAUCUAAUAUAGAAAUUCUUAUUCUUACGUUGUUGUUUAAAUAAUAACCGAUAGUUAUGGUCAACGAAGGUUUUCUUAUCUUCCAAUAAAUUUAAUUUAAGAAUUUGUCAAUAAAUUUUAUAUUUUUCUUGUCAACUUUCAUAUAUUUAUAUAUAUAGGCAUACAUGUCGUAGAUUUUCUUUAACAAUUAUUUGAAAAAAAAAGAAAUCAUAUUUUUUUAUAUAUUUAUUUUUAUAUCCCUAUUCGACUUGGACGUGGUGAUGUGAGAAGUGAUAGUACCUAUGGACGACCCUCCGUCUUCUGUUAUUUUGUUGGCCUUCCAGUGACUAGCCACCCGCGUGUCUCAAAGCCUCCAUAAAGCCAAAUCAUCUUGGGCCACCCACUAUUAGUGCGUACGCACAUAUACCCAAAACGGGAUAAUUGAAGCCAAACAACCACAUACUACUUCACAAAAAGAAUGACAAAGCAAGCCAAAUUUAUCACUUGAUAGAUCACACGAGUAGUCCAUCACCCAUAUUGUCAGUGACAUAGCACUGUCAAGCAUGGAGUCCUUCCCCAUAAAUACCCUAGGGCACGAUGAUAGUAGGAUCUUUUCCCCUUCAGCAAACCUAAGCACCGCACCUAGCAACAAUCUACCUCUCCUCUCCUUAUCUCUUAUCUCCUUUAACUCCUUCACUCAGGCUCUCCACCUAAUUAAGGUGAACCAAUCUUCUUGUCACCACCACCAUAUUCUUAUUCUCUCCUCCCUUAUUGUAUCAUAGUAUCAAUAUCUAUAUCUAUAUACAAUUUCAUAUUUAAAAAAAAUUUCUAUGUUCAGAUACUACCAAAAAAGAAACUCAAUGUAAAUAGGGCAAUUCUGUGAACUCAAAUAUUUUUAGGCAUUUUAUGGAUUUAAUUAUUUAGUGAAAUUAUAGCUCUUAUACAAUAAUUAUUGUACUUUGAUUGAAAGCUAAUUAUUUUAUAUCAAAUAUAGAUUUUUUUGAUUCUUACACUAUUAUUGCCUACUGUUCAGACAAUAAAGUAAAUUUUGAUACUGUGGUCAACUAAGGGUUUUCUUUCCUUCUCAAAUAUUUAAUUUAAGAAUUUUCAAUGAAAUUUAUAUAUAUAUUUGUUGGUUUUCAUACACACAAUCUCAUACCUUUUUCUUUAAUAAUUAAUGGAAAACAAAGUUAAGGACACAUGAUUAAAUGAUCCUAGUUUUUUAUCAGACAUUGUGGCCAUACUAAUCCGUUUGCGGAUUAGGAAUAUACUGCUUUAUUAAUUUUAUUAUAAAUUUCAAUAUUUUGCAAUUGGAUUUAGUAGUGGUACAAAGUAACAUCGACCUCGAGACUGGCAUCUCCAGUCCUGGAGUUGGAAGAAGUGGCCCGAAAUAGUGCAAACCCUGUGGCCAUCCUAAACGCACCUGUCCCUCCCACUAUUGCCAUUUCACGAAUUACGUCAGGGCCAGGAACAAAAUCUGUGAGGGGAUAUCGUGAGAACAAGCUAAAGGAGCUCCCCUUGAACUUGCCAAUGGUAAACGCAAAAUCAGCGUAAAAAACCGCCGUGAACUUGGUAGGGUCUCGACUUAGUGCUAGGUACAGCCCUUGGGCAUUUCCAACCAUCUUGGAUGUUCGUUCAGGCUCUAGAGUGAGGGGAUCAUCCAUUGAAUACAAGCUUCCGUAUGGGGAUGGGGAAAAGAAAUCUUGGGUGAUGUUGGCCUGAGCUAUGAGGAACAGGGAUUUAAAUAGCGGUCCGUUACCGAAAUAGCGGCCGUUAUAUAGCGGUAGCGGCACCGUCCGAAACCGCUACUGCCGAAACCCGCUAUACCCGCAAUACACAAUAAGUAAUGUAAAAUUCACGACCGCGAUACCUGCAAUGACCGCAAUAGCAUCCGUUAUGUCCGCAACCACGAUAAACGCAAUGCGACCGAAAACGCGACCGCGACCGCAAUUUAAAUCCCUGAUGAGGAAUGUAGUAGGAUUUUUACCACUGGGAAUAUCGUGGUAGAAGAAGCGAAGUCGGGUCAUCUUUUCCACCCGAGGACCUGCCUUGAUAGUUUUGGAGUAGUAUUGGCCAUAGACCGGUGCUACGGCGAGGCAAAAUAUCAUUGCCCAUGCAAAUAUCAUCUGUUUUUCCAUUUUUCUUCCAAAUGUUUACCUCUAUAAUAUUUGGUUUUGACACUUCAAAGUAAAGGAAAAACAAUUGGUUUUGUGCUUCUUGCUUCACACAGUUGGGGUUUAAAUAGAAUUUGUGUUGGAUUUUAAAAUUGCUUUUUUUUUUAAUAAAAUAGUUGUGUGAAAGCUUGAAAUUCAUGUGUCUUAUUUUAUUUUUGAAAUCAUAUGGAUGAAAUUAAUUGUAGAGAAGAGUGUAAUUGUGAUUGAAGGAUUGAAGUUUUAUUUAAUGAGACUUUACUUACAAGUUGAAAGCUUUGAAUAUUGAGAAAUACCCCAACGCGAGGUUAUUAUUCAAAUCUAGAGUCUCAAGACAUUGGAGAAUUUAGGCUUAGCUCCUAUAACUGAAAAUUCCUCAUUUAUAUAUAUGAUUAAAAUACUUUUAAAAAACUUAAAAUAUUACUUUUAAAAAAUCAAAUUGAAGUCAAGGAGAAUUCAUUAUUAAAAUCAAAUUAAAGUCAAGGACAACACAUUAUUAAAAUCAAACUAAAGUCAACGUGUGUGGCAACGAUAAGCAACAUCCUAUAGCUUCAAGUUUUGCCACUAGUGGAAAAGUCUCAUCAAAAUCUAUUCUUCUACUUUAGUGUAGAGAUGCGUAUGGGUCAGGUCGGGCUCGGGUCUAAAAAAUAGGUCUAAAAUUUUGCUCAAGUCCGUCUAUAUUAAUUUUUAUAUAAUUUUAAAAUAUAUAUAAUACAUCAAAAAUACUAAAAAAUCAAAAUAAAUAUUUCCCAACAAAUUGAAAAUAAGUUUUAAAAAAUAUGUAUACUUAAAUAACACUAAGAUAGAUGCAACUUAAGAAGCAAAUGUCUCUAAAAUAAUAACAAAAUUAACAAAUGUCUUUAAAAAAAUAACAAAAUUAAUAAUAAAAUAAGUUUUAUACAAUAUCCAAACAAUAACAACAAAAUAGUGACAACAUAAGAGUAAAAUGGUAGCAAAAUAGGGAGAAAAUAACAAGAAAAUAAUAUUAAAAAUAUAUAUAUUUGUCCUUUAGUGAAUUUGGGUUAGGCCCGAGCCAAAAAUGCCUUACUCGAGGCCUGACCCGUUUUUUAAACGGGCCUUAUUUUUUUAUCCAAGCUCAUUUUUCGGGCCUAUAUUUUUGCUCAAACCCUCCCACAUUUCGAGUAGCCCGGCCCAUGAGCAGGUCUACUUGAGUGUAUCCCUCUGCAUCUAAUCUUGCUUUGUUUCUUGUAAUAUUCUCAUCCUCGUUAGUUUUUCUUUCAGUGAUUUGAGUGUAAUUUACUCUUAUAAUUUUAUGUGUCUAAAAUUACUAUUCUUUUUUUGAAAGAAAAAAAAUUCAUUAAUGAGAAAGUUACCGAAUUUAAAAUUUCAACUCAUGAUAAUUAUGAUUGUUUUGGUACUGUUUGUAUCGACUGAAACGCUCUGUUCUAAUAACAAAGCAGAGUAAUAAAUUUUAGGUCCAUAUAAAUUUUGGAUGGUAUCAGCCGCAUUGGUGCAUACCAGUUGAUUUCACCCUGUACGAGAUGUACCAUAUUUGUUUUAAUUAUUUUUAAUUGGGUAUGUUAUAUCGUAAUGCAUUCCAUGUUUAGUUUAACUUUUAUCAUGCAACUCAUGUUUAUGUUUUUUUUUUUUUAAAAAAAAGUUUUUACGCGUUAAAAAAUAAUUGUAAAUCCGCUGCGAAAGCAGGGAUUUAUUCUAGUAAUAGAUGAAAGUUCACGUUAUUGAGCCAAAUUUUAAAUUAUGCUUUCCUUCUAUGUGAUAUCAUUCACUCGAAUUUUAUUUUUUAUCAGUUUCCCAGAUUUCCUAUUUAUUUCCUUUUGAUUUUCACCCGUCCAUAAAAUAUUAUUAGUUUUUAACAUUAAUCUCAUUAUAAAUUCUUAUAAUAUUUAUCAAUUCUUUUUGAUACAAUGCUUAAAACUACUCAUAGUCCCUCCCAACCUUUAAAUAGGAGGAUAAUAUUGUGCUUCAACGCACUCAAACUCACAUCCUCUUGCACUGACAACAAUGUCAAUGUCAGUCAAGUUAAGACUUAAUCGGCUUAUAAAGAUUAUUUUAAACUUAAUUACUUACUAUAAAAAAAAACAUUAAUAACUUAACAUAAAUAUUUUUUCAAGUUAAGUUUUUAUAAUUAUAGCUAUAAAUUAUUUGCACCAUAAACCCUAAUUUAAUGUGGUAGGUGUUAGUUAUGCAAAUACAAUUUUAUUUUAUUUUUUGCACAAUAUCGUUGAGUAUGAUAUUAUUUGAGAGAAUAGAGUGAGACAUAAGCACUAGUGAUAGCUCACCGAUGAUUCCUGCUGAAAGAGAUAAUGUGGUGGGGAGGGGGUUGAAGAGUAGGAGCGUACUUUAUUUGGCGUAGCAGAAUCGCUACCAUUGCUAUUUCAGCUCCUUUUUCUUUUGAAACUUGAGAAUCCAUUUGGAGUGUAGGGUCUAACCCAAGCGUGCUAAUAUUGAUAAAACAAUUAUAGUACUGAGCUGAGAGACUCAUAAGAAUGUUAAAUACAAAAGAAGAAAUUGUGGGAGCUUUUGGUGCUGUGCCGCAAAGCUGGGACGAUCGAUAGUGAGAGGUGGAGCAGGGUAGUGGUGAGGAUGAUGAGGUGGCGGAUUAACGGUAGGCGAUUGGGUCAGGAGCAACGGUGGGGUAGCAAAGCAGGGCUGGGCAGCAAGUUCAGCCUAACGCGGCGAUAAAGAAGAAGAAAGGAGAAAGGAGAGUACGGUGUCAAAGGAGGCCAGUUCACCCAUUUUAGAGCCGAAAACUAGAUAGGUAAAGAGGCUCAAGAUGAAUACUUAGGCUUAGUUUAGUAAUACUUCUCAAAAGUGCUUUUUUGAGGGAAAAGCUAAAAUUUUCAGCUUCUAAAAAAAGUACUUUUUGGUCAAUUUUUGACUUGGGAGAAGCACUUUUUAUCUCAAAAGGUAACUUGUUUAAGAAUGUUUUUGUCUUAAAAGUAUUUUUUUAUCCCAAAAGUGUUUCUUAGAAGCAGUACUAAACACACUCUUAGUGUAUUAAAGAAAGGUAUUUUCAACUGCACUAGAAGAGUUAUCGAGAUGUGAUAAAUUAUCUUCUAACCAUUUCAUUUCUAUUUAGUUAUCACUAAAUUUGUCUCGCACCUUACCCAAUAGCUGGUGGCAAAUUGGUCUCCAAUCUCGAACAUGCACUACUCCCAUAAUGAUUGCCCUAUCAAUCGAUAGACCGACUUGUAAUACCACAUCUUCGAGUGUAAUCGUACACUCAUUGAAUGGAAAAUGGAAUGUAUGAGUUUUGAGUUUUCAUCUCUCUAGCAAAGCAUUGACAUUUUUAAAAUUGGCAACAUUUAUCAAAUUAAACAAGAUUAAUUAAUUUAGACAAUUAAAUAAACUAAUUUUUUUAAUAUUAUUAAAUUAAAAAUUUAUUUAACAUAAAAAUAUCGUUAAAUCUAUUAAAAAUAAACAAAUUAAAAAAUAAAUUAUCUUAUUUUACUUGAAAUCUUUGAGAUGAUGAAAAUCGAAUAAUAUCAAGAAAUUGAAUGAAAAAAAAAUAAGUGAAGAGAAGAAGAAAUUGAGAGGUUAGAAUAGAAAAUUAAGAGAAAAAGAGUUGAGAUAAAAGAUAAAUGAAAUUGAAUGAAAUAAAUGAUAAGUGGAGAGAUUUUUAUAUGGGAAAAUUUUGAGAGCCGUUGGGUGCAUUUAAUUUUUUUUUCAAUUUUUAGCCGUUGGUCCAACGGUUUAAAAAUCAAUGGUCUAGAUUUUAAAAACGUAUUUUCCUACUACCACAUAGACAAAAACGUAUUUUCCUACAUGGCAGCCACACCCCACAAAAAAUGCUUGUUUCCCUAUUUUUCAAAACAGACGAACUAUUUUCCUAAUUAUAUUUUAAAAACGAUAUAUUCUUGAUUGUUUGAAUUUCGUUUUUAAUGCGUUUUUGGGUGAUUAUUUGAUGUAAAUUGUGAAUUAUAUGCUUCUAAUUCUUUAAAUUCAUGUUUUUAUACUUAGGAGAGUAUUUGGGAGCAAAAUGAGCGAAAAUCGGAGCGAGUUACAAGAGCCACACGGGCUAAACCAUUUCACAUGGCCUGGGCACAUAGAUGUAUGAGCCACAUGGGCUGCUACAUGGCAUAUGGCAAGUCGUGUCGAUAUCGCAAAUUGCACUCCGAACAGCGAAAAACGCGAUUUUUAGGUUUUUCGGGUAUUUUAAGACCUAUAUAUGACAAAAAUAAGAGGAUUUGAGUGAGCCACUAUAGAAUACUCAAGAAAACAAUCCGAAAAAUACCAUUGAAGAUUCCCUUUUGAUUUCUUUGGAGAUUAUUAUGAGUUUUUUUCUUUCUUACGGUUAUACUGUUUCUUGGAUGUUUUUAUUUGCUUGUAUGAACUAAUUUUCUAAAUAUCUAGGGAGAUGAAUCCUAUGAUGGAUUAUGUCGUUUGAUUUUUAUUUUAAGCAAUAAAGACUUAGAUAUUAUUCUUAAUUAUGUGUGCUUAAUUUUUGGUUUAAUAUUUCUAGGCAUUGAUUCAUAUUUGAUGUGCUUAAAUAAGAUGAGUAGAUCCUGUUUAAUAGUAUAUCUAGCGUAAUUGAGUGGAAUUGCAUGCAAUCCUAGAAAUAGGACGAUAAAUCUACAGGAUUAGAGUCAAAUCUAAUAGAGGAAUCCAUAGAUCGAGUUAAUGCGAUAAUAAAGGUUUUAAUUAGAAAGAAAUUUUAAUUAAUCAACCUAGAGUCAGUUGUUAUUAUUCUUGAAGAGAGAUAUUAGCACAAUUUAGGAAUUUCUACUGAUCAAGAUACUAAGUGAAGAAAUUGCAUAAUUUAGAUUGAUAAUUACAAAUGAAAUCUAGGUAAAUUUUUUCCUGAGUAUUGUUUCGCUUCUUGGUUAUUAUUUGAUUAUUUUCCUGAAUUGUUCUUUGUUGUGUUGGUUAGUUAAUUAAUUUAGAUAAUUUUAGUUUUUACUCAAUCACUCGAUUUAUUUGGUUAAAUAAUAGAAAUACUAGCAUUUUUAGUAUUUAUGAGAACAAUAUUUUUACUAACCGUAACUAUACUAUUAGUUGAUAUGUACACUUGCCUUAAUCAAAUUUUUAGUUGAUUUACGACAGCAUCAAUUCUCCUAAUUUUUCCAAUAUAAUUAUCCAUGCAAAUAUCAUUACUAAUUAAAUUGAAAUAUAUUAUAAAUAAUAAAAAGAAAUUUUAUUAUAUUCUAAUAAUCGUAUUUGGCUUCUCUUAAAUGAAGCAAAAAUUCAUCUUUCAUUCCUAUUAAAUGAUCUGAAGAAGACUACCCUUAUCAAAUUAUGUUCCAAACAAUUAACGAUUUGCGUUCCAUUUUUGUUUCUUCAACUAGUGGCAUUUGUCGAUUUGCUUUCCUCCCGACUCAACACUUUUCUUUAGUUUUGUUGGGAUUCUUAGUCUCCAGGUGUUGUUAAAUCUUGGUGGCUUAUGUGUUGAGUCGCAGCCUCACUGUCAAUCUGGCUUGCGUGUAAUGCUUUUUGUUUUCGAAGACAAGAGCUGGGAGGUUAAUGAUAUCAUCUUCCUUGUAAAGCUCAGAUCCCUUGUUAUGGCUUCGAGCUUCCUAUGUUGAUCUUAACCUCCGAAAUCUAUUUGGUGGGAGUGUCCUUUGUUCUGCUCUCCAACGACCCCUUCAAAGGAUACUCGAUUAGGUAUUUUUUGGUGCCCUCCGCCUUUUAGCUGCGUUAAAGUCAACGUUUGAGGGAAACCAGGUCCCGCCGGUUGUGGUGGCGUUCCUAGAAAUAAUAAGGGAGACAUUUUGGCUUUAUCCUCGAGACCUCUUGGCUAUAAAACAAGCUCUCGAGAUCUAUUUUCUUAGUCUGUUGCAGCAAUGUUGGAUGAGAAGGUGUGCUUUCUUAGUCAUUAAUGUUUUUAUUGAAUCUUAAUUCCCUAUGGUUGUAUUGCUGGCUGUGUUACACUACAGAUGUGGAAUGAAGGACUUCCUUUUACUGAAACGUGUACACUCACACAUGCUCCCAUUCUUUUUCUUUUUCAUUAUACAAAAAUGGUUAAAUUUUAGUUUUGGUACCUCUAAUAUGUCUAAAUUUAAGAUUUAAUUUAUAUACUUUAAAUUUUAACAUAAUUAGAAAAUAAACCUUAAAUUUUACCUAAGCUCAUUUUUCAAGUCUCGUAUUUUUGUCUAAACCCUCCCAAUUUUCGAGCGGCCUCUAGGCCUGGAUGAGUGGCCUGGCCCAUGAGCAUGUCUAAUCACAUAUAUAAUAAGAACAAUUAUAUGUUAUUUUUUUACUAUCAUAAAAGGAUUAGCCCAAAUUAAAAGUGAACUAAUUUGGUUAAAGUUUAUUGGACUUCAGUUAUUAAACAAAGUAUAUGAGUUGAUACUCUAACAACUAAUUUCUAAUUGUAAUCAACUCGUAAAAUGCCUAAAAUAUUUUCGAGUCUUUGGACUACCUCUGUUUACAUUGAGCUUUUUUUAGGUGGGAGCUAGACUGUUUUUAAUAUAAAAUUAAUAUAGAUAUAGACGUAUAACAAUUUUUUUUCCAUUAAUUAGUAAAGAAAAUAUAUGAGAUAUAGUGUGAAUAUAUAUAGACUGACAAAAACUCUAAAUUUGGUUGACAUUCUUAAAUUAAAUUUGUUGAGAAGAAAAGAAAACCUUUCGUUGACGUAAAGGUUUGCACAAUAAACAAUAAGAAUAAGAAGAAAAAAAUUCAAUUUGAUAAAACUUUCAAUCAUAGUAUAAUUAUUAUUGUACAAGAGUCAUGUAAGCUUAUAAAAAAAAAUUAAAUACGAAAACGUAGUUGAAUCCGUUAAUAUCUUGAAACCUUUAAAUUUUACGGUUUUAAUCUGUCAAAUUAACACAAAUAUUUUAAAGAAUGGGUAAAGACUUAAAAAUAUUUUAGGCAUUCUAUGGAUUUAAUUGUUUAGUGAAAUUAUAACUCUUAUAAUAUAAUUAUUACACUUUCAUUGAAAGUUCACUAUUUUAUAUCUAAGGGUUGUUGUUUAAAUAAUAAUCAAUAGUUAUGGUCAACGAAGGGUUUUCUUAUCUUCUCAAUAAAUUUAAUUUAAGAAUUUGUCAAUGAAAUUUAUAUUUUUCUUGUCAACUUUCAUAUAUAUGUAUAUAGAAGCACAUGUCAUAUAUUUUCUUUAACAAUUAUUUGAGGACAAAAAGAAAUAAUAUUUUUAUAUAUCUAGUGUUAUACCCCUACUCGGUUUGGACACGUGGUGACGUGAGAAGUUACUUGAGAAACACUUAUGGACAACCCUUUGCCUUUCACUACCUGGCUGGCCAUCCAGUGACUAGCCACCCGCGUGCCUCAGACCCUCCAUAAGGCAUAUCAUCUUGGGUCACUUGCUAUUAGUAAGACCUCCGUUAGGCCACUCGCUAUUAGUGAGUAUGCACAUAUACCCAAGAGGGGACCAUUGAAGCCUAACAACCUCAUACUACCUCACAAAGAGCAUGUCAGAGCAAGCCCCUGCUUGAAAACAAUCAACACAUAAUGGAACUGCCACAUGAUCGAACACAUGGGCGGGCCACCACCUUUAUUGUCAGUGACAUGACACUGUCGGGCAUGGAGACGUUCCCCCUAUAAAUACCCAAGGCACGAUGAUAGCAGGAUCUUUUUCCCUUCAGCAAACCUGAGCACCUCACCUAGCAAUAGUCUACCUUUCGUCUCCUUAUUCUCUUAUCUCCCUAACUCCCUCACUCUGACUCUCCGCCAAACUAUGGUGAACCAACCUCCUUACCACCACCACCAUAUUCUCAUUCUCUCCUCCCUUAUUGUACCACAAUAUCAACAUCCAUAUUUAUAUACAACUUCAUAUUAAAAUAAAAUUUUGUUCAGCUUCUACCCAAAAAACAAACUAAAUGUAAAUGGAGCAGUUCUGUAAACUCAAAUAUUUUUAUUCGUUUUAUGAAUUUAAUUGUUUAGUGAAAUUGUAGCUCUUAUACAAUAAUUAUUGUAGUUUGAUUGAAAGCUAAUUGUUUUAUAUCAAAUAUAGAUUUUUCUUAUUCUUACAUUAUUAUUGGCUAUUGUUUAGAUUGUAAUAGCCCAUUUUUGCCCGGGCCCAAUAAAAAAUGUUAACAGUCCCAGUCCAUUUACAACAAACCAGAUAGGCCCAAAGCCCUAACGGCCCAAUAUGGCCUAAAAAACUAAACAAAAUUAGAAAACCCUAGGGUUCCCUUCCCCUCUUGCGCCGCAGCCUCCCCCAUGUGCGUCCUCGGCGUGCACGAUGCCCGAUGACGACUCCUUCACCGAGGUUGCACCAAAAUGGCAAUGGUUUCUGCUCGUUGACUCCUCAUGACCUGCAAAAUAGACGAAGAUAGCAGCCAAUAGACAAAAACAGAGACAGCAGAAACAAACAGUAGCAAAAAAGAUGUAUUUGGCUAUAUAAGCCCAAAAACCAAACAAAUGUAAGGGGAAAAAUAUUGUAUGAAAAGCUAUUGAAAAAUAUAAAAAAAGAGAAUACAAAAACAAAGGUGAUUUUUUUGCAUUCGAAGCUCUCUUUAUUUGUGCUUUAUUUUUAUUUUUAUUUAUCUUUCUUAUACCAAAUAACCAAAAAAACAAAAAAAAAAGAAAAAGAAAAUCUCACCCGCGCCUCGCCGGAGGAGGAGAGGCCGAACGAUUUCUCCUCAUUUUUUUCGGGUUUGGGUUCACCUUUCAAAGGAUUCAAACUUGAAUCCAGGUUCUAGGGGUGACGAGCUUUAAGCGGGGCUAAGAAAGGCCCGAUUUUGCACCUCCGGCGGAAGUGUGCCGAAGCCCUCGAUCGAAGUCUUAGGCCGGAUUUUGGAGGGGAGGCCGAGAGAGAGCUCACUCUCUCUGUUUUCUGAAAAAAUGAAAGGGAUAAAAUGUUUUUAUUUGUUCAUUUUUUAGUAUUUAUAAGGUGUAAAAACGGCGUCAUUUUGGACCUUAGCAUCAGUGGCCAAAAUGGCGCCGUUUGGUAUAACAACCCAAGGGCCGACCCGAGACCCAACCCACUCCAGGGGGAUCCGCGUGUUUUCCUCAAAUGGGUUAUUUAUGACCCUGGUCCCUCCGCAUUUUUACUUAUUUUAAUUUACUCCCUUCCUGUUCAUUUUCAUUUUUUUUUCAAAUUUGGCCCUAGAAUUUUGUUUGGUUUUCAGUAAAGUCCCUAACCCACCAACGAGCUGGAUAAUGGACACGUGUCUGGGUUUGGGUUUUAUUCCCAUUUGGUCCUUGACCUUUGUGCGUCUUUUGAUUUUAAUCCUUCGUAUUUAGUUUAUUACAGUUUCAACCUUUUAAUUUUAUUUUUAUCCCUAAUUAGUCCAUUUGUGUUAUUUUUGUUGUAUUAUUAAUUAAUCUACUUAUUAUCAUACUUGUAUUUUCAUUAUUAUUUAUUUAUUCAUUAUUAUAUUAUUAUAUUAUACUAUUAGUUCUAUAUUAUUAUUAUUAUUAUUAUUAUUAUUAUUUACUCAUUUAUACCAUUUAAUUUUAGAUUUAACCAUAUAUACAUACAUAUCUUUGACUUAUAUAUAUCCUUACUUAUUUUUUAAUAUACAUUAUAAUUUAUAUAUACAUACGUACAUUUUUAUAAUAUAUAUACAUAUACAUGUACAUAUUUUUAUAACUUAUUCAUAUAUAUAUAUGUAUAUAUGCAUGUUUGUAUUUCUUUAUAUAUUUUAUGUAUAUACAGAUAUAUAUAUUUUUUACUUUCAUAAUUUUAUUCAUUUUGUUUAUUUAUUUAUUCAUAUUUUCAUUAUUAUUUUGAAAGAAUGUCUUAAUUAUUCAUUUAUUUACUUGUUGUGAUAUGAUAGAUUUGUCUCUUCUAUUAUUUAUCUCAUUUACGAUGUCGUUCGUAUUAUUUAUACUUACAUUAUCGUGUUCAAUUUUUUUUGUUACGCACAUUAACACCAUGUUUUAUUUCUACCAUUUUGUGUUAGAUUAAUUUUAUUCAAUGCAUAAAUUAUGAUUUUUGAAUAAGCAAAAUCUCGUGUUUAGAUUCGAGAAGGUCGUAUCCUAACUUACUGGGUUUCGAUUUUCACAAUAAAUCUAAAUACAUGAAUCCUUUCAAACUCAAGUUUUAAACGAUCUCGGGAAUUAAGAGAAGAUCGUGUCCUAGCUUACUGGGAAUGAUCCUUUUUUUCCUCAAGUUUUAAACAAUCUUGGGAAUUAAGAAAAGAUUGUGUCCUAACUUACUGGGCAUGAUCCCCUUUUUUAAUCUGAGAUGGCUAAAUAUCUUUUAAAUAAGUAAAUUUUUGGCAUUCAUUCGCGCAUCGGGAAUUCAAGACAUUGUGUCCUAACUUACUGGAUAUAAUUCUCUCUCUCGAUUAACGUGAAAUAUGCUAUUUUCUCAAAAAUUUUCAACAUUUCAAUAAAGGAUCGUAUUUUAAAUCUCUUCAAAAUUUUUAAUUUUCGACACUAAGACAUUAAUUAAUUAACUAGGUACCAAUUUUGGGCGUUACGAGGGUGCUAACCCUUUCUCGUACGUAACCGACUUCCGAACCCGUUUUUCUAAAUUUUGUAGAUCAAAAUCGUUGUUUUAAUAAAAUUAAAUCGUUUAUUAAAAACGACCACUUUUCGAGGUGACCCGAUCACACCUCAUCAAAAAGGAUUGGUGGUGACUCCCAUUUUCAUUUUCAUUUUUAAAAUCCAAGUCGACCCCGUUUUGUCAAAAAAAUGGUGUCAACAUAGACAAUAAAAUAAUUUUUGUUCCUUCUCAAAAAUUUAGUUUAAGAAUUGUCAAUGAAAUUUAUAAAUUAUUAUAAAUCAAGAAUAAUAGAUAAAAGAUAGAUUUGAGAAUAAGGAAAUUUCUACGGCAUUCUAUUAUUUUUCAUCAUCAUCACAAGUAGUCUAUUCCUAUAUAUAUAUAGAGAGAUUAGACUUCUCAUUUUUCUAAUACAUAAGUAAAAAAGAGGUUAUAAGAAGAUCAAAGAUGAAGAAUUAAGAAAGAUGAAAGAUGAAAGAUGAAAAAUUAAUUAUAAUCAUCCACUUAAUAGCAUUCAUAAUAAUAUAUAUUAGUUUUCAUACACACAAUCCCAUACUUUUUCAUUAAUAAUUAAUGGAAAACAAAAAAAAUAAUAUUUUUAAACAUAUAUAUCUAUAUAUAAUUUCAUGUUAAAAAAAGUCUAUCCUACCCCCAAGAAAACUCAAUGUAAAUAGGAUUUUUUUUAAAUCCCUCUUUUUCUUUUGGAAUUUUUUAGAAUUAAAAUUAAAUUGAAGAUUUUUGUAAAUGUUGAGGGUAAAAUUUAUUGAAUUUUUAGAAUUUAAACUAAAAUAACAAAUUUUGUAAACAUUGAGAGCUAAAUUUGUUGAUUUUUUUUUUUAGAUUUAUGAUCAAUUUGAUAGAAUAUGUAAACACUGAGUGCUAAAUUUAUUAUUAGGCGAAUAAGAAAAGCCCUUUGUAGACUUAGGGUGUGUUUAAUAAACUAAAAAUUUAAGUGUUGAAUUUUUAUGUUAAAUUUUAUAAGUGUUAAAUUUAUAUUAGAAAAUUGUUUGGUAAAUUAGUAAAUAUAAGUAUUGAACGUAAUUAUGUUGUUUGAUAAAAUCAAAUAUUAAUUAUUUUUAAUUUUAAUCUUAUUAAGAUAAUAAAUUUUUUUAUCAUUUGGAUAGUUUUGGCUAAAAGCUAAAUAUGGUAAUUUAAAUAUCUCAUUUAAAAAAAAGAAUAAUUUAUUUUUAAUUUAUUUACUAAAAUAAAAUCAACUUAAUAUUUUCUAAAUUAAGUGAUUCGUAGCUACCUAACCUAAACAUCUUAUUCAACACUUUUUUUUGUUGAAAAUUUUAUAUCAAGUAAAGAAUUAAUAUGAUUAUCAAACACAUUUAAAAUAUUAAAUUUCAUUUUCAAUGAAAUGAAAAUUUUAUUAGUUUAUUAAACACACCCUUAGUUAAUGACAACUAAUGAGAGAGUGACUAAAAUAUUUAACUUCAAAAAGUUGAGUGACUAAAUUAAAAAAAUUAAUAGUUGAGUGACCAAAAUAGAACCGAGUGUAUGAUUAGAUGACUAUUCUUAUAGUUUACCCUAAAUUUUAUAAUAUAAUGUAAUGUAAUGUAAUUAAUUAAUAAUUCUUGUAAAAUCUUGUUGGUUUGCACUCAAACUCUUUAAAUAUUGCGAAAUAUCACAACAUGAUGUUAAUAUUUAAAUAUAUUCGACGAGAAUUUUGGCUUAGCUCCCAUGUUAGAAAAUUUCCUAUUUAUAUUUGAAUAUUAAUAUAUUUUUAUAAACAUUGCAUUCUGAAAGAGAAUGGGAUUCGAACUUUAGAUGUGAUAUUGUUGUGAGGGAUAGUUACGAACCCAAACAUGGAUCAUAAAAUAAAUAUGGAAAAUAUUAUUGUGGUGAAGGCUCGACUCAUUCAGGAGAAAUUUUCGAAGUGUCGUUUGCCAAGCAAUAGACAAUCAAAGGUAUUGUCCUCGUGGUCAGGAUUUUGUCCCCUAGCCUUUACGCAGCAAACUUUGUACCACUUGACGACGUUUUGAAAACUUUUAUGAGAGGAGCUAACUUCCCCAUCAACAGGUACCAAAAAAACUAAAUAAAUGAACCCACAUUUUCAAAGUUAAGGAUAACACAUGAUGAAAUUAUUCUAGUUUUUUAACACAUGACUAAAUAAAUACCAUCUAUUUUCCAAUUUUUCUUCACAAUGUUUGCCUUUGACACUUCAAAAUAAAGGAAAAAAAGUUGUGUAUGUUACAUCUUAAUCCAUUCCAUAAUGUAACUCAUGUUUAUGUUUUCUUAAAACAUAUAAUUUUUACAUUUAAAAAUAAUAGUAAAUCCCCUGCGAAAGCAGGGGUUAAUUCUAGUAAUAGAUGAAAGACCACGCUAUUGACCCAAAUUUUCAAUUAUGAUUUCCUUCUCUGUGACAUCAUUCACUGUAAUUUUCAUUUCUUUUUCUUAGUUUCCCAAAUUUCCUAUUUAUUUCCUCUUGACUGUCACUGACGAUAAAUUAUUUUAUGUUCAGUUUUCUCAAUUAAGUUUUUGUUACGAAAGUUGUAUAAAAUUUAUAUAUAAAAAGGUUAUAACUUAACAUAAAAUUUAAUAUAGUAGAUGUUAAUUAUGAAAAUAUAAAAAAAUUUCUUUUACUAUAUCGUUGGUUAUGAUACUCUUUGAGAUAAUAGAAUCAGAAGCAAGUACCAGUAAUAGUUCACGAGUUUUUUAAUUCGAGACAUUUAAAGCUUUAAAAUAUAGAUAAAAUGACAUUUACUGUUCUAAAAAAAGUCUUAUAUUAACAUCACUUCAAUAAAAUAUAAAAAAAAAGAUUAGAUCGUAUUAGCAUGUUGCAUACUUCAUAACUUUAUUCGUAGGCGGAAUUGAGAUGAUUCAGAGUACAAGGAAGCAGAAGAAAAUCUUGAUAAUUUUAAUAAUAUAAAUUGAUAUUCAGAUGAUGAUAGGAGUAUAUAUAAAUGUUAAAUAAGGAAUUAACUCAAAAAAUAUGUAAUGCUAAAACAAUUAAAUAAAAUUGUAUAUGAUUUUUAUUGCUCUUGUUAUUUUUAUUAGUAAUUGUAUUAUUGACUACUUUCUUAAACUAACAUAUUACCUAUUACCUAUGAUGAUUUGAUUUAAAUUUUUGUUAUUCGUUUAGAACUUUUUAUCGUAUUAAUAUUUGGUUCCUCUCAAAUGAACCUAAAAAUCAUCUUUCAUUCCUAUUAAACGAUGAGAAAAACUACUCUUAUCGGAUUUCGUUCCAAACAAUUAGCGAUUUGCACAGGAGUUAUGGUUUUGUUUCUUCAACUAGUGGCAUUUGUCGGUUUGCUUUCCUCCUGACUUAACACUUUUCUUUAGUUUUGUUGGGAUUCUUAGUUUCUAGGUGUUGUACAUGUUGCGUGGCAGCCUCACUGUCAAUUUGGCAUGCGUGUAUUAAUGCUUUUUGUUUUGAAGAGAAGAGCUGGGAGGUUAAUGAUACCAUCUUCCUUGUAAAGCUCAGAUCCUUGUUUUGGCUUCGAGCUUCAUAUGUUGAUCUUAACCUCCGAGAAUCUAUUUGGUCGGAGUGUCCUUUGUUCUGAUCUCCAACAACCCCUUCAAAGGAUUCGAAUUGGUAUUUUUUGGUUCCCUCCUUUUAGCUGCUUUAGAGUCAACAUUUCAGGGGAACCAAGUCCUACCGGUUUUGGUGUCCUUUGUUCUAAUAUUUUCUUUAAUAAUUAAUGGAAAAAAAUUGAUAUGUUUAUCGUCUUAGAUGUGAUCUGAAUUCGAGUAACGCUUAUUACAUUGUUGUGAAGACUUUACCUCUUGUAACUUGAAAACAAAAAGAAAACUCUAUGUUUAGCUCCUACCUAAAAAACACUCAAUGUAAAGAGGGGCAGUUGUAAGACUCGAAAAUAUUUUAGGCAUUCUAUGGAUUUAAUUGUUUAGUGAAAUUAUAACUCUUAUACUAUUAUUAUUAGACUUCCAUUGAAAGUUAACUAAUUUACAUCUAAUAUAGAAUUUCUUAUUCUUACACUAUUAUUGGUUGUUUAAAUAAUAUAUUAAAAUUUGAAACUAUCAAUAGUUAUGGUCAACGAAGGGUUUUUUAUCUUCUCAAUAAUUUUAAUUUAAGAAUUUGUCAAUGAAAUUUAUAUUUUUCUUGUCAACUUUCAUAUAUAUAUAUAUAGACACACAUGUCAUACAUUUUCUUUAACAAUUAUUUGAAAACAAAAGGAAAUUAUAUUUUUAUAUAUUUGUUCUUAUACACAUGAUGAUGUGAGUGUUGGGAAGAAACCGAACAACCGAAACAAAGCGAAAGCACAACCGGUGUUCUUUCUCUCCUUAUAACUCCUGUAAAAAUUAUGGCAAGCACAAUAGCACAAGAUAUGUUCUCUAGCAACCUUAAUCAAUCACAAAUCAACUAAUGCAACCACAACAAAAAUAAAUAGAGACACCGAUAUUUUUACGUGGAAAACCCCUUUAAAUCAAGGGUAAAAAACCACGGGACUUUAGAGUCCGAUAAAGAGCUCCACUAUCAUCAAAUGUUCGGCUACAAGAUCACAAUAUCAAGCCUACAACAAGCAUUCAACUCCGACAAGGCUAACAAUAUGUAAUCUUUAGCAAAAGAGAGAAAAAUGAGAGAACAUCACCAAAAAAACGUAGCUGCUGAAAAAUGGGUAUUUUCGACGCUACAAGACUCGGAUGAAAGAUCCGACCGUACAAAGUCAAGAACACCUUAUCACCUAGCUGCUGUCCAAAAAUCAGCUCAAUCGAACCACGGAUGGUCCUUCGAUCGAGGAGUUGAUCACUGCUGCACCAAGCUUGAAAAAAACUGAUUUUUUUUAUUCUCUUUUUCUCCAACGAGCUUUUUUUUUUAAUCUCACUCUCUGUUUUUCUCUCUUUUAAAUUGAGAAUUUGACACUCAAUAAUAAUAGAGAGACAAAACAUUAUGGCAUAAAAUAUGGGUUUCCCACAUAGUGGGACCCAUACCCAACAAAUCUCCCCCUCCAACUAUGUGGGGAAUGCCUCCAUACCGGAGGUCAAACAACAUGCUUCAAACUUUCCUCUUGGUAAGGCCUUCGUCAACAUAUCAGCACCAUUAUCAUUAGUGUGUAUCUUCUCAAGCUCUAACAGCUUAGCUUCAAGAACAUCUCGUAUCCAAUGGUACCUCACAUCAAUAUGCUUAGAUCUAGCAUGAAAAGUUGAGUUCUUACCAAGAUGAAUAGCACUCUGGCUAUCACAGUACAGGACAUACUUCUCCUGAGUAAAACCAAGCUCAUGCACAAACUUCUUCAUCCAAAGCAUCUCCUUACACGCUUCGGUUGCUGCAAUGAACUCUGAUUCGGUGGUGGACAAUGCAACACACUUUUGCAGUCUCGAUUGCCAUGCCACAGCUCCCCCUGCAUAAGUGAUUAAGUAACCUGAAGUAGAUCUCCUCGAGUCAAUGUCUCCGGCCAUGUCUGAAUCUGUAUACCCAACAAGAACAGGUUUCUCAUUGCCGAAACAAAGUUUCAUGUUGGAAGUGCCACGAAGAUAUCUCAUAAUCCACUUCACUGCAUUCCAAUGUUCUCUGCCUGGAUUAGAAAGAAACCGACUAACUGUACCAACGGCAUAAGCCAAGUCUGGUCUCGUGCAAACCAUUGCGUACAUCAAACUACCCACGGCUGAAGAGUAAGGAAUUUUCUGCAUCUCUUCCUUCUCCUUUUCUGUGGAAGGACUAUGCUUAACACUCAAUCUAAAGUGCACAGCAAAGGGAAUAUUCACCGCUUUAGCUUUGUCCAUACUAAACCUUUGAAGUACUUUCUCAAUGUACCUCUCUUGUGAUAACCAUAAUUUCUUGGCCUUUCUAUCACGUGUCAGUCUUAUGCCAAGAAUUUGCUUUGCUGGCCCCAAAUCCUUCAUUGCAAAGGAUUUACUCAACUCUUGUUUCAACUUCUCAAUUCUAGAAGCAUUCUGACCAACAAUAAGCAUAUCAUCAACAUAGAGCAAAAGAAUAAUAAAAUCAUCACCAGAGAAUCUCUUAACAAACACACAAUGAUCAGAAGUAGUCUUCUUGUAGCCUUGCUCCCCCAUAACAGACUCAAACUUCUUGUACCAUUGCAUUGGAGCUUGCUUCAAACCAUACAAGCUCUUCUUCAAUCUGCACACAUAGUCCUCUUUCCCUUGUGCAACAAAACCCUCUGGCUGCUCCAUGUAAAGCUCUUCUUCCAAGUCACCAUGAAGAAAAGCAGUUUUCACAUCCAUUUGUUCAACCUCUAGGUCAUAACAAGCUACCAAACUCAGUAUAGUUCUGAUAGAGGACAUCUUCACAACCGGAGAAAAUAUUUCUUCAAAAUCAACCCCCUUUUUCUGAGUAUAACCCUUGACGACCAAUCUAGCUUUGUAUCGUGGAGAUGAAGACUUCACUUCUUGCUUCAACCUGUAAACCCACCGAUUAUUCAAAGCUCUUUUGCCUUUAGGCAGUUUCACCAAUUCAAAAGUAUGGUUCUCAUGCAAGGAUUGAAGUUCGUCUUUCAUCGCUUCAACCCACUGAUCUUUGCAUUCACUCUCCAUAGCCUCUUCAUAACAUUCAGGUUCUCCCCCGUCAGUCAAAAGAACAUAUUCAUCAGGAGAAUACCUGACAGAAGAUCGUCGAUCUCUGGAAGACCUUCGAAGUGGAACUGCUGGUGGAGCUAUAGGUGCUUGUUGUUGAUCAUUCACAACAUCAUCCAUGGGAGUAUCAAAGUCACCUAUAGUCUGAUGGUCACCACUAACAUCACCAUGCACAUCAUCCUGGAUAGGAUCUGGUGAAGAGUCUAGGGGAACCGGAUUCACAUCGAUCAAGUUACCACUACCUUGUGAAUCCACUUUCUCCGUCUUAUCAAUGUCAUCAAUGGUCUGAUCCUCAAUGAAGACAACAUCUCUGCUUCUCACGAGUUUCUUCUGAACUGGAUCAUAGAGUCUAUAACCAAACUCACCAUCUAGACCAUAACCAAUAAAAAUGCAUUGUCGAGCCUUGGCAUCCAACUUGGAUCUUUCAUCCUUUGGAACAUGAACAAAUGCUUUACAACCGAACACACGUAGGUGAUCAUAUGACACGUCUUUACCAAACCAAACUCUAUCUGGCACAUCACCUUUCAAAGGAACACUAGGAGACAGAUUUAUCACAUGUGUCACUGUAUUCAAAGCUUCAGCCCAAAAUGAUCUUGGUAACUUUGCAUCUGACAACAAACAUCUGACUCUCUCAAUCAAUGUUCGGUUCAUUCUUUCAGCUAACCCAUUUAACUGUGGAGUCUUUGGUGGUGUUCUCUGAUGUCUGAUUCCCUGUCGCAGACAAUACUCAUGAAACGACCCUGUGUACUCGCCACCAUUAUCAGUACGAAUGCACUUCAACUUUUUCCCAGUUUCCCUUUCAACUGAUGCUUGAAACUGUUUAAACACCUCAAAGACUUGAUUUUUAGACUUCAAAGUGUAAACCCAUAGCUUUCUUGAACAAUCAUCAAUGAAAGUCACAAAGUAAAGUGCACCACCAUGUGAUCUUACUUUUAUCGGACCACAAACAUCUGAAUGGACCAACUCUAGCAACUCUGAUUUCCUAUGAGGAGGAUGGCUUCUAAAUGAAACUCUUUUCUGCUUCUUUCCUGCUAGACAAUGAGCACAAUUCUUCAGUGUAGCAUUCUUUAAACCCGAAAGUUGAUUCUUCUUCGCUAAACAGCUAAGCCCCUUCUCACUCAUGUGACUGAGUCGUUUAUGCCACAACUCAGUUGAGUUGUCAUUCAGUGUCACAUUCACCGUCUCUCGAGAAGUCAAAGCUUGCAUCAAGUACAAAUUUGAGCUCUUCUUUCCUCGAGCCACAACCAAGGAGCCUUUAGUCAGCUUCCACUGCCCUUCACUGAAAGUGUUACAGAAUCCCUCAUCAUCAAGUUUUCCUGCAGAAAUCAAAUUCAAACGGACAUCCGGUGCAUGUCUGACAUCCUUGAGAGUUAACUUUGUUCCAUUGUUACUUACCAAGCUAACAUCUCCCAUACCAAUGACCGAAACCAAACCAUCAUUACCCAUCUUCAAUACCCCAAAAUCACCAGGAGUAUAAGAUGUGAAGAAUUCCUUCCUCGACGUGACAUGAAGUGAUGCACCAGUAUCAAUCACCCAACUAGUCUCGUCGCAUGCUAGGUUGACCAAAUUCUGAUCACAAAUAACUAACAAAUCUUCACGAGUAACAGUAGCAACACGCUCGGAUUUUUCAUCGUCAUUCCGGUCGUGUUUAUCACCACCACCUUUAUUUUCUUUCUUCCACUUGAAGCAAUAUUUCUUGAUAUGGCCUUUCUUACCACAAUGAUGACACUCAAGAUUCUUGUAUCUCGAUCUUGACUUGCUUCGGCUUUUAUCUCUACCCUUUCCAUCUUUGUCUCUGUUUCUCCCCCUGUUCUCGAUAACCAACACCUCGGACUGUGAUGUAGAACCCUGAGAUCUUCUUCUAACCUCUUCAUUCAACACACCACUCUUAGCCAAAUCCAAAGUAAUAAUACCCUGUGGGGCAGAAUUAAUGAGUGAGACUCGAAAGGUCUCCCAAGAGUCUGGUAGAGUAGCAAGCAACCAAAGUCCUAAAAUCUCGUCAUCAAAUUUGACACCCAUACCAAGCAACUGAUUCAUCAUACUCUGAAAUUCACUAACAUGGUCAGCUAUAGACAUUCCUUCUUUAUAUUUCAGUGCCAUCAUUUUCUUCAGCAAAAAUAACUUGUUAUUGCCCGACCUCGAAGCAUACAAGCUUUCAAGCUUCUCCCACAAUGUUCGAGCAUGUGUCUCCUGAUCAAUGUGAUUGUAAACAUUUUCUUCAACAAAUUUCCGAAUAAAGCCACACACUUGUUGAUGCUCAAAUUCCCAUUCUUCAUCACUUUUCGAAUCGGGUUUUUGAGUAGUAAAGACCGGAAGAUGCAAAGCCUUCACAAACAACAAGUCCUUCAUUUUAUUCCGCCAAAGUUGAUAAUUUGUGCCAUUCAACAUAAUCAUCUUGCUCGUAUUAAUUUCCAUAAUUAUCUGACACAAUAACCAAGCUCUGAUACCAGUUUGUUGGGAAGAAACCGAACAACCGAAACAAAGCGAAAGCACAACCGGUGUUCUUUCUCUCCUUAUAACUCCUGUAAAAAUUAUGGCAAGCACAAUAGCACAAGAUAUGUUCUCUAGCAACCUUAAUCAACCACAAAUCAACUAAUGCAACCACAACAAAAAUAAAUAGAGACACCGAUAUUUUUACGUGGAAAACCCCUUUAAAUCAAGGGUAAAAAACCACGGGACUUUAGAGUCCGAUAAAGAGCUCCACUAUCAUCAAAUGUUCGGCUACAAGAUCACAAUAUCAAGCCUACAACAAGCAUUCAACUCCGACAAGGCUAACAAUAUGUAAUCUUUAGCAAAAGAGAGAAAAAUGAGAGAACAUCACCAAAAAAACGUAGCUGCUGAAAAAUGAGUAUUUCCGACGCUACAAGACUCGGAUGAAAGAUCCGACCGUACAAAGUCAAGAACACCUUAUCACCUAGCUGCUGUCCAAAAAUCAGCUCAAUCGAACCACGGAUGGUCCUUCGAUCGAGGAGUUGAUCACUGCUGCACCAAGCUUGAAAAAAACUGAUUUUUUUUUAUUCUCUUUUUCUCCAACGAGCUUUUUUUUUUUAAUCUCACUCUCUAUUUUUCUCUCUUUUAAAUUGAGAAUUUGACACUCAAUAAUAAUAGAGAGACAAAACAUUAUGGCAUAAAAUAUGGGUUUCCCACAUAGUGGGACCCAUACCCAACAGUGAGAAGCUUUGAAAAUGUAUGACAUGUGUGUCUAUAUAUAUAUAUAUAUGAAAGUUGACAAGAAAAAUAUAAAUUUCAUUGACAAAUUUCACUGAACUCUUCUUUAACUCUAAUUUUCUUGUUCUUACACUAUUAUUAGCUAUUGUUCAGACAAUAAAGUAAUUUUUGAUACUGUGGUCAACGAGGGUUUUCUUUCCUUAUCAAAUAUUUAAUUUAAGAAUUACCAACGAAAUUUAUAUUUUUUUUGUUAGUUUUCGUACACACAAUCUCAUACUUUUUCUUUAAUAAUUAAUGGAAAACAAAAAGAAAUAAUAUUUUUAUCUAUCUAUAUCUAUAUGUAAUUUCAUGUUAUAAAACUCUAUCCUACCCCAAAAAAACUCAAUGUGAAUAGGAUUAGAACUAAAUUAUAUAUUUGUAAAUUAAUAGUAAUUUUUUAAAAAAAUCCCUCUUUUUUGUUUUGCUUUUGGAAAUUUUUAGAAUUAUAAUUAAAUAAAUUUUUUUUGUAAAUGUUUAGAAUUCGAACUAAAUUGACAAAUUUUGUAAACAUUGAAAGCUAAAUUUUUUUAUUUUUUAAGAUUUAGCUAGGAUCUAAUUGAUAGAAUCUAUAAACAUUUUUAUUAGGCCAAUAAAAAAGUCCACUUUAGACUUAGGGUGUGUUUGAUAAGCUGAAAAUUUAAAUGCUAAAAAAUUAAGUGCUGAAUUUAUAUUAGAAAAUUGUUUGGUAAAUUAGUAAAUGUAAAUGCGGCAUAUAAUUAUGUUAUUUGAUAAAAGAAAAUAUUAAUUUUUAAAAUAUUUUUAUUUUAUUCUUAUUAAUAUAAUUUUUUAUCUUAUUUUGGAUAAAAGAUAACUAUGGUAAUUUAGAUAUCUCAUUUAUAAAAAAAAUAAUUUAUUUAAUUUUUUAAUAAAAUAAAAUCAACUUUAUAUUUUCAACACUUUUUGUUGGAAAUUUUAUAUCAAGUUAAAAAGUAAUAUGAUUAUCAAACACAUUUAAAAUAUUAAAUGUUGAAAAUUUUCAAUAAUUUAUCAAACACACUAUUAGUUAAUGAAAACUAACGAGAGAGUAAUUAAAAUAUUUAAUUUCAAAAAGUUGAAUGACUAAAUUACGAAAAUUAAUAGUUGAAUGACCCAAAUAGAAUCAAAUGGAUAAUUAGGUGACUCUUUUAUAAUUUUCCUCAAAUCUUAUAAUAUAAUAUAAUAUAAUAAAGUAAUUAAUUAAUAAUUCUUGUAAAAUCUUGUAGGUCUGCACUCAAACUUUAAAUAUUGCGAAAUUUCUCAACAUGAGGUUAUUAUUCAAAUCUAUUAGGAUUUUGGGUUAGCUCAUCAUAUAUUUUUAUAAGCAUUUAACUCUCAAACCGAAAAUGGGAUUUGAAUUUUAGAGGCAAUAUUGUUACGAGGGGUAACCACGAACCUCGAACAUAAAUCAUAAAAAAAUAAAAAAGUACUAUUGUUGGGGGGUCGACUCAUUUGAAAGAAAUAUUUGAACUGUCGUUUGCCAGACAGUUGACAAUGUCCUUAACAACCAAAAUUAUUGUAUUCAUGGUCUCGGCCUCUGCAAAGAAGAGUUUUCUCCCUCGGCCUUUGCAAAGAGCCCCUGCAGACAAACUUGUAUCACUUGAGCCACCUAGCUCAAGUGGUACUGGAAUUGAUUACCAUCAGCAGGCACCAAAAAAACUAAAUAAAUAAAACUAUGUUGUCAAAGUUAGGGACACAUGAUGAAAUGAUCCUAGGGUUUUUAACAGCCAUUGUGGCAAUACUAAUCCGUUGGCGGAUUAGGAAUAUGCCCCUUUAUUGAUUUUAUUAUAAAUUUCAAUAUUUUACAAUUGGGUUUAGUAGUGGUACAAAGUAACAUCAACCUUAAGACUAGCAUCUCCAGUCUUGGCGCUAGAUGAACUGGCCCGAAAUAGUGCAAACCCUUUGGCCAUCCUAAACGCACCUGUCCCUCCCACUAUUGCCAUUUCACGAAUUAUGUUAGGGCCAGGAACAAAAUCUGUGAGGGGAUAUCGUGAGAACAAGCUAAAGGAGCUCCCCUUGAACUUGCCAGUGGUAAACGCAAAAUCAGCGUAAAAAACCGCAGAGAACUUGGUAGGGUCUCGACUUAAUGCUAAGUAGAGCCCUUGGGCAUUUCCAACCAUCUUGGAUGUUCGGUUAGGCCCUAGAGUGAGGGGAUCAUCCAUUGAAUACAAGCUUCCGUAUGGGGAUGGGGAAAAGAAUUUCCGGGUGAUGUUGGCCUGAGCUAUCAGGAAUGUAGUAGGAUCUUUUCCAACGGGAAUAUCGUGGUAGAAGAAGCGAAGUCGGGUCAUCUUUUCCACCCGAGGACCUGCCUUGAUAGUUUUGGAGUAGUAUUGGCCAUAGACCGGUGCUACAGCGAGGCAAAAUAUCAUUGCCCAUGCAAAUAUCAUCCGGUUUUUCAUUUUUCUUCCAAAUGUUUACCUCAAUAGUAUUUGGUUUCGACACUUGAAAGUAAAGGAAAAACAAUUGGUUUUGUGCUUCUUGCUGCACACAGUAGGGGGUUUAAAUAGAAUUUGUGUUGGAUUUUUAAAUUGCUUUAUUUUUUAAUAAAAUAGUUGUGUGAAAGCUUGAAUUUCUUGUGCCUUAUUUUAUUUUUGCAAAUCGUAUGGAUGAAAUUGUAAAGAAGAGUGUAAGUGUGAUUGGAGGAUUGAAGUUUUAUUUAAUGAGACUUCACUUACAAGUUGAAAGGCCGGCACUCAAGCUUUAAAUAUAGAGAAAUAUCCCAACACGAGGUUAUUACUCAAAUCUACUUAGACUCUCAAGACAUUGGAGAAUUUAGGUUUAGCUCCAAUAAUGGAAAUUUCAUUAAUGAAUAAAAUAUUUUUAGAAAGGGUAAACUAUCAAAAUAGUCACUUUUGUUUACCUCAGGUUACAUUUUAGUCACUUACGUUAUCGCGUUAUAACACUUUAGUCAUUGAGCUAUUAAUUGUCGUUAACGGUGUAAUGGUAAGCUGACGUGACAAGUUAAAUCAUCAUUUCAAAUAAAAAUUUUAGGUUAAUUUAUUCAAUCGGUCCCCAUAUUUUUUCAUUUUGAGUAAUUUAAAUUUUUUUCCUUUAUGUUUUUGUAACUUUCCUCUUUUUUUUUUCUUCUUUUUCCAGUCUCUUCUACUUCUCCCUCUGUUUUUCUCCCUUCUUCAUUUCUUCUAACGUAAUUUUUCUAUGUUUUCUAUUUGCUAAAUCUAGUCCCUAUAUUUUUAUUAUUUUUGAACAAUUUAAUUUUUUCGAGUGAGGUGAGCUUGUGGACUAGUUUUAAAAAAUAGAAAACAUAGAUAAAUUACAUUAAAAGAAAUGAAGAAUGGAGGAAAACAGAGGGAGAAGCAGAAGAGAACGAAAAAUAAAAUAAAAAAGAAAGUUAAAAUAACAUAAAAGAAAAAGAUUAAAUUGCUCAAAAUGAAAAAAAAAUAUAAGGAUCAAUUAUAGAAUUUAACUUAAAAUUUUCGUUUAAAAUAAUGAUUUAACGUGCCAUGUCAGCUUACCGUUAUACCGUUAACAACAAUUAACGGCUCAGUGACUAAUAUAUUAAAACCCGAUAACGUGACUAAAACAUAAUAUUUCAAACAUAAGUAACUAAAAUGUAAUCUGAGACAAAAAAAAAUAACUAUUUUAAUAAUUUACCCUUUUUAAAAACUUAAAAUAUUGCUUUUAAAAAAUCAAAUUAAAGCUGUUUUGGCAAGGACAACACAUUCUUUUAAAAGAAGUUCCGGCAGUACUAAUGCUUUCUUGUUUGUAUAGAGCUUCUAGAUCUCAUUUCUAUUUUUUUAAUUAAAUAUUGUAUAGAGCUUCUAAAUCAAAUAUUACCUUUUUGAUAACUUGUAAUUAAAUAUUGUUUGUUUUUUUUGCGGAUAUUAUUUCGGUAUCAUCUAUAUAGGUUGAAACGCUAUGUUCCGAUAGUAAAUCGAAAUAACAAAUUCUAGAUUUUGUUCCGGUACAAAUUUCGGUUGGAAUUAAUCAUGUUGGUUGAUUUCGCUCAUACCGACUAGAAUAUGGUGUACCGAUGAGUACCAAAAUAAUUAAUUUUAAAAUAUAUUUUAAAUUUAAAUUUUAUUAACUAUUUUAGAUUUGUAGAAUUAUGAAUUAUUAUAUGCAUACAGUAUGAGAUGAUAUUAUUGUUUAAUUGAUGGAAUACUUUUUUUGCUUGUUUAUUGUGAGUUUAUUUAAUAAUGGGUUGCAUUUAUGAAGCUUAUUAAAGAAUAUUUUUGGUAUUUUAAAAUUUAUAAUUGGUGAGAUUUGAACCCAUGCCACCAACAUUUUUUAAAUCUUUUUUCACUAAUUCAACCAAAGCUUUAUUUUUUAUGAGAAUUUUAUAUUUGAUAUUUGUAAAUACUUUUUAUAUACAUAUAUCAACUGUUUUUUAAAAAGAGCGAUAAAUCUAAAAUAGUAUACCAAAACAGAUCAAUAUCGAUACGUGUCAAAAUCAAUAAAAAAAACUAUACAUCCAUCGAUACAAUACUGACCACCUUACUUCAUCCAUUUAACCAUUUUAAGUUAUUGACUAAAAAUUAUUAUGAUAUGAGAUUAAAAGAAUAAGAAGUCAACUUACGCAAUCUAAUUUAUAUAAAUAAAUAAAUUGGGUAAAAUCAAUGUGGAAAUGCAGGCAAUUUUAUUGAUUUAGAAUAAUAGAUUCGCAUCAUAUUCUUUUGAAACAAAAAAAAAAAAAAAAACGCCGGCAUCGUCAAUAGAUUCAGUCAAUUUUGAUUAAUUAAUUAAAAUUUUCGUAUAUAAUACUAUUUUUACUGUGGCUGGCAACUAAAGCCAGCUGUAAAAGCAUUUUUCAACCCAAAAGCAAUAAAGAAUGUGGUUUUUGAAAUCAAAAUUACAGUGAUAAAGUGUUUUUUUUUUUUACCCAAACAUAAAAAUUAAGAUUUAGUUGUUUUUGAAUUUUAGGUUUUUUCUUUAAAUGUAAAGUUGGUAUUUAUUAAAUAUUGUAGGGUUUUAAUAAAGACUGACACCCUGAAAGACGUUACAAACAGAUGAAAAGACAUGUCAAAUAAAUCAAACGUCACACGAAAGCCACUCAAGGCUGAAAAGCAAACAGCCACAUACAACUAAAAAGCAAUUAGAAAUUAAAACACCGAAAACAAAACUCAAAGUUAGAGAAAACUAGAAACGAAACGAAACAAAACAAAGCCUUCCCCCAAACAACUAUAUAGAGAAACUAGAGAAAUACCAACCAAAACCUCUUCAAACAAAGCUCAAAAUCCAUCAACCAUGGUAGAAUAGGCGAAAGCUUGAGAGAAACAAGCCCAUGGAGAUUCGGAUUGAACCUUUUCCAUGGAGAAACAAUAAAUUGGGCCUCUUUUUUUAAAAAUUAUACAAUAAAAGUCGGAAAAUUUUUGGGUAAGAGAUGAAUCAUUUAUGGUGAAAAAAUUGAAAGUUUUAGACAUUUAAUUAAUUUAUUUUAGUCUGAAAUAUUUUUUCACACAUUAAAAAUUGAAAAAAUAUUUUUUUGGACCCUAGGCAAUUGUACUCUCAAACAACUCCGGGGUUGCGCCUGAAAAUACCUUUAUUUAUACUAACUAUCUAAAAAAUAUUUAAAUAUUUAUAUUAAUUUAUUAUGUUUUAUGUAUAAUUAUAUUAAAUUAUUCAAGCAUCAUGUAUUCUAUUAAAUUAUUUAAAUAUCAUAUAUUAUUAUGUUAAAUUAUUUAAAUGUCCUUUAUCAUUAUAUUUAAAAUUUGUAAUAUUUUUUAUUUAAAUUGUUGUAUGUUAUGUAUCAUUAAUUUUACAAACAAUUUAUAUUAAUUACUUAAAAAUACUUAAACUUUAUAUUUCAUGUCUCAUUAUAUUAAAAUAUUAAAUUAAUUUUUUUAUUUUUUAUAUUGUCUAAAAUAUACAUUUUAACUUCCCAGUUCCCAGUGUAAUUUUUUAUAGCAAUACCAAACACUUGAAAUUAAUAAACCGCACUUUUUCAUAAUACUGUUCGACCACAACAUCAAUGGAGAACUAGCUAUAUCCCAUCUAUUUUCUAAAAAAAAUCUAAUUUUCAAAUACAUACUAUUGAGUCCAAAAAUGAUAUUUGCAAGCUAAAAUUGAGUAGUUCUUGAGGUAGUGCUUAAAGGAGUUCCAACUGCUUCAUGCACCAACAACGAAAAAUGCAAAAGAAUGAUGAACAAAUGAUAUAUUUAUGCAGAUUAGUUUCCCUACAUUUGUAGGGUCUUGCCUAGAGAGAAUAUUCAUUAUCUUAGCUCCUUAUACAAGUAGUGUUUUGAGGCUCUAACACUUAUCCGUUUAGACUUUUCACAUUUGUACUUAAGAUCUAGGCACCCCUCCUCUAAAUUUUCCCCUUCAAAACUUAAGGACAUUAACCAAGUCAUACACUUGACUAUUUUACUCAAUGUACUCAAAGAAACAUUCCUCAAUGAACAAGAAUAAGUGCUUUUCAUUCUAUAUAAUACUUAUAUAAGUCUUCCCAAUAUAUAAGUAAUUGAAACAUGCUAACAUACUAUCUCAUUUACAAUCAAUCUUCCCUCAGAAUAAGCACAAUACGCAUAAGGAAUAUCUUCAAACGGCUUAGGAUAAGUCUUGAAUCUCUAAGUUAUACUUCUUAGUUUAGCUUUAUUUGAUUCGAUCCACCAACUUGGGAAGUUAACUACUUCGAUCCAAAUCCAAACCAAUCUCUAAGAUAUGUUGCUAUAUGUAGUUUGGAUAUUGAAGAUGGGCUAGCAAUUGUCCAAACAAUAGGAAUCACAACCUAAUGAUUUUCGUUGCCAAAAUUUAUCAACAUGACAAGUUUCUUGAGCAAACAAUGCUACUACUAGUUGACACUAGUACAAGCACUGCUCAAAAACUACCUCAACACCUUCUAUUUGAUUUUCAUCCGGAUUAGCAGCAAUACCAAACGACCCAUACAGCGGUGUUAAUACAAUUUUUGAAUUUUAUGAUAAAAUUAAAACAUCUUAAAGUAUAAUAAAAGUUAAAUAAAUUUGUUAUUUGUAUCCCAUUGGAGUAGGCUUUGUCACUCUCACCUCACUUAGCCAUAACUUUAUCAACUACAAAACUUUGCUAGUUUUGGACUCCGUGUAUGUAUGUAUACGGCAUAAAGAACGCCUCUAACCUUCCUCACUGGGGAUAGGUGUUAGAUCUUUUUCUGUAUGGAUCACACGUGGAGUUUAUCCUAAUAGCCAAGUCAAUCUCAUCGCUGCCUAUCUAUAAAACUAUCAUGCUCCAUAAGUGGCCAACCACGACAAGACUAGCAACAAACACAUAUCGAGGCUAGAUGCUAGAGAUGGCUAGCCUUACUUAUAAAUAACUAAUUAAGGAGGACUUCUUCAGUCUUGGAUUCUUAUGCUUCAUACACAUCUUUGCUUUUAUAUGACUCUCUACACCUCACUACUAUGUGAACCACCAUCUAUCAUCUUUUAUCUUGUACUUUAAAAAAUUAAAUAAAAUAUUUUGAUGUAAGAUAAUAUUUAAAGUUGAUUGCCAAUUUCAAAAAAAUUACUGAAAUAUAAAACACGAGCCCCUCUAAAUAUUACUAGGUGUUUGGACAUAAAAGGGUUUGAAUAGAUUACUGUAAGUCAAUAUUUUAAUAAUUAAAUUGGUGAUUGAACUGAUUAGAUCACCAAUUUCUAAUUCAAUUAAUUUAAAUUUUGAUUCAACAAUAAUUAAAUAAAUAAUUAUAAAACCGAUUCAAUUACUAUUUCUUUUAGUUUCCAAUUUAAUUAAUCUAAACCACUAACCCAGUUCAAAUAUCAUUUCUUCGAAUUGUCAAUCCAGCUAAAGUUUUUGACCCACUAUAAUAAUAAUAAUAAUAAUAAUAAUAAUAAUAGAUGAAAGACCACGUGAUUGCACCCUGCAAUCCGGCAGGACUAGGGUUCACGAUAAUAAAUUAUGAUUUCCUUCUCUAUGACAAUUUUAAAAUUUUUUAAUCUUAAACUUACAUUAACUUUGAUUUAAUGUAUACUUUAAUACAUAAACGUUAAUUUGGUGUAACCAUACAUAUGAAACUUUGAUUGUAGUUAAUAUAUAUAUAUAUAUAUGAUUUUGAUUUUGAUUCAACUAUACACAUUUAAAGAAAUAAAUACAUAAAUUUAUUUAUUAGAGAAAUAUAAUUAUUUAUAUACCCCAUAUAUAAGCGUAAAAUGAUUCUGCAUUGAUAAUUUUAUUAGCGACUUAUGAAAAUUGAAUCAAAUAAAAAUUUUAUGUAUUAAAAUUGCACACAAAAUCAAAGUUUAUGUAUAAUAUUACAUAUUAAAUCAAAAUUUAUAUAUAAUUUUAAGAUUUAUUCGAAUUAUUUUUGUAUCAAAUUAAAACUUCACAAUGUUAAAAGGUUAAUGCUAUAGAUUUAUCCCAAAUGAAUAAAUAAAUUAACAAUCCCUAGAAAUAAUUGAGGAAAACAAUUAUCUCUUAAAAUGAAUUCCCUAAAAUCUAAUAUGUUUUUAAUUAUCUUUUUAUUCAUAUAAUUACUUACAUAUAAAAUUAUUUUGUUUAUUUUGAAAUUAAAAGAAUACGUAUUGAUAUUAACAAUACUUAUAAUUCGAAACAAAUUGAACAAUAACAAACAAUAGAGAUUCCGCCGAUCAAGUUUUAGUUUAAUUGGCAUGGUUAUUGUUGUCAAUGUAGGAGGAUGUGAGUUCGAAUACGCUGAAGCACAUUAUCCUCUUAUUUGUGGGUUAAAGAGCAGAUAUGAUCAGAAUCUAUAAUAAAAUUAUUAAAAAAAAUGAUAGAGAUUCCAAAGUUUAAUUUGAAAUUAAUUAAACAACAAUAUUAACAAUAAUAUCUUCAUGGAAACAAUGCUUUAGUUUUUUUUCCAUCUAUGGUUAAAUUCUACUAUUAGUCCUUAUACUUUAGAAAAGUUGUGAAUUUAAUCCUUAUACUUUCAUUUGUUCAUUUUUAGUCCUUGUAUUUUCUAAAAUUUAAAAUUUCAAUCCUCACCAAACAGUAACUAUUAAAUUCAUUAAAAUUUUCUAUUUCUAAAAUUUGAUGCGACAAACAUAUCAUCAUAUAUGUAAUGCCAAUGUCAGCCUUAUAUUAUUUCAACAUAUUACUCACUAAAAAUCCAGUUAAUGGAUUAAUAACUAUCAUUUGCAUCAAGAUUGAAAUUUCAAAAUUUGAUGAUUAUAGGAACUUAGCAGAAUCCAAUUGAAGAAAAUAGACUAAAUCUAUAAUUGUAUGCAUAGUAUAAAAUUAAUAAUUAAAUUUAAACAAACAAAUUUAAAUGCUAUUGUUUGGGUGAAAACUAAAAUUUUAAAAAUAUGUGUAAUACAUUUAUAAAAACUUUCAAAGAUAUGUUAUACUAUCUUUACCAUCUUCAAGUAAAAAAAAAAUUCCCAUAGCACAAGCAAUUUCAAAGAAGAAAAGUUCAACCAGUUUCCAACAUUAGAACACCAUAUACAUAAAACAUGAACUUCCUUACAACAGACACAAAUAUCCAACAAACUGAUGUUAAAAUAUGCCAUAAAUCUCUUUACUUUUCAAAAAUUUAGAAUUUAAUUAGUCUCUAUACUUUUAAUUCUAGGAUGUAGUUCAUUUACUUCUCAAAAAACUUUCAGGUCCAACUAUUAACAGUGUUAAAUGUUUUGGUUAAAUUUAUUGGUAUGGCAUUCUGAAAUAAAAAUACUCACUCGAUAGCCAUGUAAUUAAAAAAAUGACGUUAUAAUUAACCUGAAUUUAACAAAAAAAAUUAUCAGUGUUAAUAAUUGGACCUGAAUUUUGAAAUUUGAAAAGUAAAGAGACUAAAAUUUUAAAAAUAAAAAUACAUGGACUAAAUUUCAAAUUUUCAAAGAGUACAAAGAGUUAUGAAAUAUUUUAACAAAAAAAGUACCAAAUUGCACAAAUAGUAUAUUAAUCCUAUUCCCAUUUAGUUCUAAUCUCAUGGGUAUGCCUGAAACCACAAUUAAGUACCAAAGUCCCAUCCAUUCUUCUUAAAGCAAACCUCUCCACCAACACAUAACAAUCAAUUCUCCUCCACCCACCACCAAUCUCCACCACUCUUUCAACCCUCUCAACCCCAUCUACCCACCCCACCAACUCUUCCAACCACCUCAUUCCCUCCAAAACCGCCAAACUCAACCCUAAUUUCUCACCACCAUAUCUAAACCAAACAAACCCUUCAUUAUCCAUUUCACUCCCUCUCAAAACUUCAACCCCAAACAAGAAAUCAAUUUCCCUUUUCAUCUCAACAUUCAAUGUCAUAACAUCCCCUUUACUACUCCCAUCAUUCUCCCAUGAACAUAUCUUUUCCCAUAACUUUUCUAAUGUCACUAUGUAAAACAAUGAUUUCUCCAUUUGAACCCUCAUCAUGCUACUUUCUUUAACGAACACGAAUGGGGUAUACCAUUUCCCGAUAAUCAUGUUUGUCCCGGAAUCGAGUUCCGGGAGCUGUGACCGGAUCGAGUCAUCGAGCCCUCGAGCAUUGUCUUGCAAGUGAUGUACCCUCUUGUUUUCCACAAAAAGGGUGAAUUUGAACCUUAGAAAAGUGGGGGGAAAACUGUGAGGAACAAUGGGUUUUGCAUAAAAACGACCAACAUCAUCACUGCAGAUCCUGAACUGUUGGUAUUGAUCCCUAUGAUCAAAGGGUUUUGGUUCAAUGUCUUGUAUGAUCCUUCUUGAGCAACAGUAACUCAUAUCAUCUUCGGUUGAACACUUAACAGCUAACCUGGUUUUAGGGUUUUCAUCAAAUGAUGAAAGUGUUUUUAAUAUUUCGAUCAUAAUAAAAAGCCAAGCAAUGCUACAUUUAUACUUGUUAUAAAGCAAAUUGCUGUAACGAGUUAAUCGGGUAUCAACUCAAUUGGUAAAAGAUAAAAUACCCUCAUUUUAUAAGUAAUUUGUAUUAUUUUAAGGGUGUUUUUAUCUUUUAUAUAAAAAUUUUUGGAAUGAAUGAAUCAAACAAAUUAACUGAAUUAUAAUAAAUAUAUUAUAUCUUCGAGUAGGGAUGGCAAAAACCGAACCGCCCGAUGGAUUUCAAACCACUCCUUUCCAAAUCGAGCAGAUUUUUCUUUUGAAAAGUAGAUGUGAGGUUGGGCGAGGUGGAUUUUUCUUUUGGAUAGUGGGUACGAAGCGAUUAUGAUAAUUGUUUACCCUCCAACCCGCUCCACUAUAUGAAAUUACCAUUUUAUCAUUGUAUAUAUAAACUAUUAAAAAGGUAAAAAUGUAAUAACCUAAUAUGGGAAAAAAUUCAUAUAUUUUCUAUUUAAAUAAUUUUUUUUGAAGAAUUAUGGUUAAAUAUUUACUUGACUUUAAAAAAGAUUGAAAAUAUUAAAGAUAAGUAGUAAAAAUUAAAUCGAAGUGUAGCAGUAUGGGGUGGGGAUGGAAGAAAGGACUUUUUUGGUUAGAUGCAUGGAAUUGGCUAUCCAUUGAGUUGGUAGUAAUUUUUAAGAUUAUACAUCCAUAGUAGAGCGGGACGGGUGGUUGAGCAGAGCAUGUCACGUUCGAAUUUUGUAAAGAAUACGAAGUAUUUACUGAGAUUCCGAUCAAGCAUGAAUGUGAUGCUUAUCAACACAAACUCCCAUCCACAAAUGAUAGUAACGUAACUAAAAAAAAUUGAAAUUGUAAUGAACCUGAAUUUAGCAAAAUAGUCUUAAGAAUUUUAACAAUUGGACCUGAAUUUUGAAAUAUGAAAAAUAAAAAGAUUAAAUUUUAAAUUCAGGAAGAGUACAGGGACUUUGACAUAUUUUAACCUUUCUUCUGAAGUUUCUUUAAAAAUAAUUGAAUGAAUCCAAUUCUGAAAUCAAAUCCCCACUUUAAAAACAAGUAAAAAGAAAAGAAAAAGAGAUUGUGGUCAUUUACCCUUUGUAUUUUCCAUCAGCAUGGAUGACAUGGUAGCGAUUUGAAGACAAAGGUUGAUGAAGAACAGGGAUGAAGUAGAAAUACUCUCCGAAAUCCGAGUCUGUGUUGAUAAGCAUCGCGUUCGAAGGCAGUGGGAGGUUCUUUAAUAAUCCUUUCGCGUACCCGUUUUGGAAAAGCCCUCUUCCUUCAUCUGCAUCCGCCCCUUCUCGCCCUCUCAACACCAUUAUACCCGAGUGCGGCGCCGCCGCCGCCGAAAGCUCGACCGCAUUCCUCCUAUAAUUUGAAAGAGCCCUUGUCACAUACAUGUUCCCCUUUGUUUCCAGUUGCUACUUCUUAAUUUGGACUUCGCUUAUAUAUUGAAGUUGAAGCAUAAGAGUCUAAUUAAGUCCAGCCAACUACAAACAAAGAAAAAAGUUUGAUUGAGCAUUAAAAUAUUUAAAUUUACUCGAUCAAUAGCUCAAGUUGUUCAAAAUUGAGUCGAUGUCAAUCAAAUUGAGAAGUGAAAUUAUUAUUUGGAGACAAAUAGAUGAGACCAAAUAUUUUGUCUUCAAGUAAUUGGCUUUAAGUUUGAUUGUUGAAAUAAUCAAACAAGAAAUAUUUAUUUGGCAAAAUAUCCAAGGUUUUUGUUUCCUUAAACAAUGGUAAUGAUUUCAAAAUAUUGUUUAAUUAAGGGUUUGAAUAUUCUUUACCAAUAAAAAGAGAUUCGAAUAUUUUGUUAAAUCGUCAAAAUCAAUGAGCUGUUUUUACUUGAUAUAUUUGUUAAUUACGUAACAUAAAUAUAGAUAAACCAAAGUUUAUUAAAUAUAAAUUAUAGGGGGGUCACUCAACUAUUAGUAAAUUAUUUUUGGUCACACAAUUAUGAAAAGUUACAAAAUGACAUCCAAUUAUGUAAUUUUAUCCUUUUUAUCACCAGUUGACAAAUGUAAAAAUGGAAACACUCAAAAAUCAAAUAUAAUUGGAUAAUAAAAAAGAUAAAAUUAAAUAAUUAGAUGACUAUUUUGUAACUUUUUAUACUUAAGUGACUACUAAUAUAGUUUACCCUAAUUUAUAUCCAACGUUGUCAUCAAAAUUAAUAAUUACAAGCAUUAGCAGAAUAAUUUAACUUAAAUUAACUCACCCACACAUAAUUGGUAUAUAUAUAAGUAGUCUUACAUAUGCAUAUUGUAUUAUCUUGUAUUUUUAUAUAUAUGUUAAAAGACUUGUGUUUAUUAGACUUGUUCAUAGGUCGGGUUACCCGGCCUGCCUGAAAAGUGGGAGGGUAUGAACAAAAAUAUAGGCUCGAAAACUAGAUUUGGGUAAAAAAAUUAACCUUGUGUAAGCUUUUCUGGCUCGGGCCCAGCCCGGAUGCCUUAACAAAGUAUCAUUACCUUUUACAAAAGUGUCAAUACCCUGCUUAGUAAGGGUGAGCAAAAUCUGAUUCAAUUCGAAAAAUUAAUAAAAAAUUCAAAUUUUGAAUUAAAUAAUUGGAGUUAUUUGAGUUAAUCAAGUUAUUAUAAAAAAUAAAAUACAAUCGUUAAAUGUGUUUGAUAAUCAUUUUAAUUGUUUACUUGAUAUAAAAUUUUAAACUAAAAAGUAUUGAAUAAGAUAAGUAGGUCGGUAGCUACUUAUCACUUAAUGUAGAAAAAAUUAAGUUGAUUUUAUUUUAUUAAAAAAUCAAAAUAAAUUAUUCUUUUUUUAAAAAAAAAAUCAGAUAUUUCAAUUACCAUAUUUAUCUUUCAUCCAAAACUAUACAAAACAAUAUAAAAUAUUAUCUAAUUAGAUUAAAUUAAAAAUAAAUAAUCUUUUAAAUAUCAAUAUUUAUUUUUAUCAAACAACAUAAUUAUAUUCAGUACUUAUUUUACUAAUUUACCAAACAAUUUUCUAAUAUAAAUUCAACGCUUAUAAAAUGUAGCAAUAAAAAUUUAGUAUUUAAAUUUUCAGCACAUAAAUUUAUAGUUUAUCAAACUUUGAUGUUCUGCAAUUUUAGAAAGUUUGAUUUGAUUCAAUUUUUAUAAAUCAUAGACACCAUUGUCGAUGUAACACCAUUUUAUGUUUAUAUGUUGCAUGCACAAAUAAUUAUAUUUAUCAAUUGUAAAUAAAUUUUUGAUGUAUUUGUUUUUUAAGGUGUACAACGGUAACAAAAUCAAAGUUUCAAGUUUCCAUUUAUACCACAAUUAAAGACUCAUGUGAGCAAUUGCACCAAAUCAAAGGUGAUGUAUCACAUUGCACAUUGAACCAAAUCUAACGUCCAAUUCUGAUUUCCAUCCCCUACUUUACAAAAUUGAAAAGUUAGCUCAUCAACUUUAAUUUGUCGGAAUUUGAUUAUUGUACUUAGAAAAAUAAGUAAGUUUCUAAACUUUAAUUUAUCAGAAUUUUGUCAUUACGGUUUAUGAAAAAUGAGAAGUUAGUACAAUUAGGUAACACUAUAAAAAUUUCUCAAUAAAUUGUUAGCUUGGAAACCAACAAUCUAUAUACAAGAAGUUAGCAAAAAUUAGUAGUUCAAGUUUAUGGAUUUACCAACAAUUGGACUAACUCGUAUGAAGACCAAAAUUUUAACAAAUUAAAAUAAACUGACCAAACUUCUUAAUUUUCAUAAAGCAAAGAAAUCAAAUUCAAAAUGAGACCUAAUUGCAAAAAAACCAUAAUUUUUGACUUCCUAAUUUGAGAUACAAAAUCAUAAUUUAAAGUACAAAAAGAUAAAUUUAUUUUAUCGGUCAAACCUAGAAAUUGUAAUAAACCAUAAAUUUUGAGCUAAAAACCUCACAGGUAAAUAUAUAUUUUGAUACCUAAACUUGAUUUUAAGGUUCAAAUUAGUGUACUUAAGGUUUGUUUUAUCCAAUUAGGUACCUAAAAUUUUUUCGGUCUAAUUAGGUACCUGAAAAUGGGUUUUUGAUUCAAAUAACUAAGUACUAAUUUGGACCAAAAAGCCAAGUUUAGGUACCAAUUUGAAUUCUGAAGCUAAGUUCAUGUACCAAAAAUGUAUAUUUACCCCAUAUUAAAUAGAGCCCUAAGUUUACGAUUAUUUUGGCCCAUUAUAACUUCCUCGUCCUUUUUUUUGUUUUGUCUAUAGUAUUAGGUGGGCGUUUGGUAAGGCGGCUACUCUCGUAGUUUCAUAUAUCCACAAUGGGCAAUAAAGUAAUUUAGACUCUCAUUGAACCCUAAAUUAGGGUUUCUCCUCUUCUUUCUUUUUUUCCCUAUUUAUAACCCGCGCUUCCUCGUCGUCAUAUCUCAUCAGUCAAUAAGCUCGCCUCGCUUUUCUCCGUCGCCAAUUAGCUAUUUGGUCACAAAGUUUUUUUUUUAUUUCUGUUCUUCUAUUUUUUGUAAACUUUCAAUUUCGAUUUCGGUUUUUUUUUUUUUCAAACCAUGAGGUUUAGAUUUUGACAUGAAAAAUCAAUGGAAAUAGAGAGGGAGAAAGGCAAUAAAUUAGAGUCACUGUUGCGCUUCUAAUCUAAAUAGCGACUUCAGCGCUGUACGUUGCCGAAACGAAUUUUUUGGGGACUGAGAUUCUGGCAUUUUGAUUUCAUUUCCUGUAAUUUUUAUGCAUUCAGAUGUCCCUACAUUUUUCCAAUUUUUUUUCAAUUUAGAUUGAGAUGGAUGUGAUGAUAAUUUCCCCAGAUGACCGAAGCUGAACAUUCUGUGCGAUUUUUUAGAUCUCUAAUUCGUUAGAGAUUCCAAGCCAGAACUCUGAUCCAUCUUCAUCUUUUCCAAAUAAUUUUUUUAAAAAAAAUUGUGUUAAAUGGAACCUAUUUGUUAAUAUGGAAGUGAUGAUUAUUUCCCCAGAUGAUCGAAGCUGAACAAACUGUGCGAAUUUUUUCUCUAAUUCGUUAGAGAUUCCAAGCCAGAACUCUGAUCCAUAAUAAUAUUUUGUCAUAUUCUUUGAUUUAAAAAAUACAAAAAUUCAUGUAAAAUAUAAAAAAAAUUAAAAUUUUUUAUGUGAAAAAUUAAUGAUGGAGGCAAAGAUGAAGAGCGCUUUUAUAAUUUCUGACACCUCUUGUAUGAGAAAAGCUUUCUAAAAGCUUUUCUUUGAGCAGAGAUAGCAACUCUCUGAGCGUUCCCAGUCUAUUUUUUCAAUUGUUUGGUUUUAAUUUUAUAUCAAAUAUUUUAUUGCUAAAUCAAAAGUAAAUUUAAUCGAAAAAUUUCAACUUAAUUUUUUGGUAUAUUUAUAGUUUUUAAAUUUAUUUUUAUAUAAAAAAUAAUCUAAAAAAUUAAUAUGAGUGAGGUGGGUUUAACUUUUUUUUAUCCAGGCAGAGUUUGAAUAAAGUUUGAUGCCCAUUCUUUGGGCCAAGCCUUAGCCUAACUUUUUGCAGUAGGCCUGGUCCAUGACUCUAGAUACAAGUACAUCUUUCACACAAAUAUAUUCAAUUUUUUAAAACGUUUUCCCUUUGAAUAGUCAUAUUCAAAUGUAUAUCAAAGACGAAUAAAAAGAAUUAAAAACCCGAGCUGAAAUAAAGGAAAGAUCAUCUACUUUCACAAUUGUUGUAGAGCACCAUAUAAUUGCAUCAAAGCUCACAACCUAAAAAGUCUCAAUCAACAUAAUGAUGCAUUAACUUUUUCUAUUUUAGCCUCCUAAUUUGGUUGUUUCAUGUCUUUUUAAUAUGCUAUACAAGUUUUGAAUAAAGGACCAAGAUGUUUCUUACAGUUACCAUGAUCCUAUGGCACCCUGAGCUGGAUUCUCGAAUGUAGAGAAUUCCCAGUAAGUCUUCAAUGAAUAGGGCUGGUGAAUUGUCACACCUUCUUCUGUGAUCUUAGCUAUCUGCAAAUUCGAAUUUAAAAUACACGAAACAUCAAUAUAAACAAAGUUUUGCUUUGGAUUGUUAAGGAUCAAAUACGAGCCGUUGUGUGAAAUACAUCAACCUAAAGUUACAACUAGUUGAACUAUUGAAUCUUCAUUUCAUUGCAAACACUGUUUUUACUAAUAGUACCAUGGAGGCUCCUGUACAGAGAGUUGAAUUGCAUUUUCUCCCCUCUACUUUGAAAAUGACAAAUUAAACCCUAUCAAAGAGCAAACUAGUCCCUUUGUUAACAUUCCAUUCAUUUCUAAUGUUAAAAAUUAGCCUUUCUAUGUCAGCCUGAGGUAUAUACUAGCAUGCUAUGUGUCACUAUCUACUUAUUCAGUUAGCCAAUGGAUGUAAAUUUAAAAUUUGCUAUUUGAUCUAAUGUAUAAAGACUAAUUGGCCCAUUUUUUGAGUAAAAGGAGGAAAAAUGCAAUUUAACUUAGUACAGGGGCCCCUAUAGUACUUUUACCAAUUGUUCUUCAACAUUAGGAUCUCCAUAUCAUUUAUAAAUGUGUCGGAGAUGUAGCAUGGGUUAGAAGCUUUAAUCCAAAAGAUGGAGUUGGCAUGUUAAAAGGAAAAUAUGAACCUGAAGUUUGUUAACGGCUGAUCUAUCACAAUAAAGGAGAACACGCAUGCAUUUCUCCAGUAAUUUAACACCAUCUUCAAAGCUCAAGUUCUCGUGCCACUCUUGACGGAGGAUUGGCUGUGCAAGGUGAUUACCAAAUCCGGUAGCAACAUGAUUGUCCUUGAAGUUUACACCAAUCAUACUGACCUGAAGAGUUGUAGUUAUAAAAUGGCAAGUUAAAGAACCUGAAACCGCAACUAGCUCACUUUGGAGAAAGAUAUAACUUCAAGCAUACCGUUCCAAGAUACUUGUUUCCGUUUUUAACUCCACCAAGUACAAGGGAGUUCCAUAGUGGAUUGAACUUGUUACGCCUGUUAUACAUAACUCUGAGUCAAGUAAUUGUGCACCUCUUUAGGCCCCAACGAGUUGCCAUCGUCCCACAUAUUGUCAUACAAGCUACAUUAAUCGAUUUUAUGUCAGAAUUCAAAUAACUAAAACGUCAACUACCAUCAAAACCCAAAUGAGAAUUGUGGAGAAAAAAGUAAUACUAAAGCUCAUGAAAGAAUAACCAAAAUACAAGCAUAUCAUUUCUUAAUCGAUACUUACAUAAGCUCAUUGAGAUAACGCAAAAUCUCUUGGAAAUCACUGAUUUCCCCACUUGCACCUAGAAGAGAGUGCUUGCCAAUAGGCUUCAUUCGUUCCACACUCUUGUACCGCAUAUGAACCUAUCAUUCAACAGAAUCAAGGCAUUAAACAGGUGUAUUUGUUAGACAGUGAAAUUGCUACGAUCAAACAAAAAUAUACUAGUACUUGAAACGGCAUACUUAUAGAUCAACCGAAGGAGGUGACAAAAGCCAAAAAUGAAAAUGAGCAAAGCAUACAUGGGCCAAAUGAUAUAGGCAGAAAUGUAUUUUUCAUUAGAAGUACAUACUGGACAUCACAGGUUUGAAGUAGUUCAUCUAAUAAAAGAAGAGUAAAGACUUGAAUUUUAAUGCAAAAGAGCAUGAAGGUUCAUUCCAACUCCGUGCCGUUUCUCUCUAAGAUAAUCUAGCAUCUAUGCGAAACUGCUUCAACCUCCGUUGCUUCAAGUCUUCAUUUUCUUUAAGCACUUGUGUCUCAUGCCCAUUUCCGACACAUAUUUGGCCAAAGGUAUGGGGAUUGGGAAUAUGAUCUCCAAGGACCCUCCAACAACAACGAAACUUAGAACAGAAAAAAUUGAAUAUAUUGUGUCAGACACAUCCAACACUCGUUCAACAACAUCCUUUCACAUCAGUCAAGGCAUUACCUUAACUGACAAUUCUUAAGCUACUUACCAACACUCAGAAUCAGCUAACCGGACCAUCUAUCCUAUAAACAACAUUAUAUACAGCAUUAAAGGGUUGAAGAAUAUUAAGGAACAUACAAUAAUCCACAUUCAUAUCACAAAUCCAUAAACACAGACAAAAAUGGUAAAAGUACCAUGAAGGCUCUUGUACUAAGAGUCAAAUUACAUUUUGCCCCCUUUGCUAAAAAAAUUGGGCAAAUUAGUCCUUGUCAUUUGCUCAAAGUGUAAAUCGGUCCUUUUUGUUAAAAAUAUCUAUUUGUAAUGCUAAAAACUGUGAUACAUGGCAUAUCAUGUGUACCUCGUGCUGGUGUGCAAGGACCAGUUUUUACAAGUAGAUAUGGAUGAAAUUUUUAAUAGGGUACAACAUGCAAUCGUACAGGGGCCUCUACGGUACUUUUAACCCACAAAAAAACAUAAGAAAAAGGCUUCAGAUCAAUGCUUCCUAAAGCUAACUGCCUAAACUCUAUAGUCAUUCACCUGCAUACCAUAUUCAAAGAGCAUAAUCUACUUCCCUAUAACAUCAAUGAUUCAAACACAUAAAAGAAACUGAACAAUUCAGAAAAAAGAUAAAGAGAGCAAUGAAAGUGAAUGAACUGACCUCCCAUAUCAGCAGCCAUUAAAAUCCGAUCUUUGUACUUUAAAGCCACAACUGAUGUUCCAGUCACAUAUGGGUACCUACACAAUUUAAGUAAAAAAGAAGAAGGAAAUUUUCAAAUGCCCAAUUACCAAAGAAAACCCUAGUUCAAUUAAAUCAGACGAAAGAACAUACAGAGUCCUCUGGGAGUCAGAUUGAGAACCGAGUAAGCUAUUUUGAGGAAGUUUUAAAGCCAUGAACCGCACAAGAAACAAAUGGAAAAAAGGGGGUAAAGUAAAUGUUUGAUUGAAUGAAAAGUGUGUUACAUUAAAGAUAAUAAAAAAGGGUUUUUGAAGAUAAUUCAAUGAAAAACUCACAUUCAUCCUGAAUUAAGGGUUUGGAUCGGUAUAUGAAAGAAAAACAGAGCUAAAUUACGAUGUGAUUGAUGCCUACAAAAAUAAUAGAAGUGAGCUUUGCUCUUAAUCUUGAUCAAAACGGGUCCUGCUCCAAUAUCUAUCGGAUUAAAACCCGGGUCUUUUCCCUCGCAUUAUUUCUCCACAUUAAUUUGACCUUAAUUAAGAAGAUGAGAUGAUGACGUGGUUUUUAAGGUUUUUAACAUUUUUGCUACCUCAUCAUUUAAAAGUUCAAAAUAUUUUAUAUAUUAUUAAAAUAUUAAAAUAGGCUUAAUAUAUAAAUUAAUCUCUGAAUUUAACAAUUUUUCUUACAUUAAAAUUUUUUCAAACCAUAUUAGUUUCUAAGGUUAGUAUCCGUUGGUCCUUAAAUUAACACCGAUUUUUUUUAGAAUUUAUCAAUGUGAACAAGCAUGGAACUAACAUGUGGAGAAAUAAUGAAACAAGUAGUAAAUUGAUCUUUAAUUAUUCUUAAAAAAAAUUAAAAAACCUUACAAUUUUGAAAGAAAUUUAAAAUUUGUUAAAAACUAUAAAAACUAUAUAAAUUAUAAAUCUUAAAAAAGAAUAUAUGUAUAUAGUGAAAAUAAAUAAAUUUGGUUAAAUUUUUAGUAAAUUACAAGAUAUUGUAAAAAUAUAAAUUAAAAAAAAACUUUAAAGAUUAAAGAAACAAAAAUUGACCGGUUGAUGUGGUCAAUUCCCUAUUAGUGUUGGUCAAUGCUGGUCAAGCCCGAUUAACUUUGGUCAACGCCUCGUCAAUUUUUCAUUUUUCAUUUUUUUAACUUUCUAAAAAUGAUUUUUAUAUUAUUUAAUUUUAUUUUUAUAUAUUUCUAGAUUUUUAAAAAAAUAUUAUUUUUAUUUUUUAAAGUUGAAUAUUUAAAGAGUAAGCUUUUAAAUGUUAAAUUUUAACUUAAUUCAUAUAUAUAUAUAUAUAUUAAAUUUUUUGAAUUUUUAUAAUUUAUAAUAUCUCUUAAAAUUUUUAAAAUUUUCUGAUUUUUAAAUUUUUUAAAAUUUUUUUAGCAAAUUCUUCAUAAAUAAAUUGUGUUAGUGUAGGGACCAAUCUAUGUAAUAGAUGUAAAUCUUAGGGACCACUAUGAUAUAAAACAUUAUACUUAUAAAAAAAUAUUUUUAAAAAUUUUAAGUGAUGACAUGACACAUUAAUAGAAUCUAGGUGUAGGGAUUAAAUUGGAAAAAAAAAACUGCCAUGUUCUAAGAGUUAUAACAACCAAAAAAAAAAAGUUCAAGGAUCAAAGUGAGAAAAGUUGCCAAGCUUAUGGACUAAAUAUUACUUUAUCCCCUUUUUUAAAUGCAAUUAAUUUUAGUUUACAUAAUUUACUAUGUAUUAGCUUUAGGUAGUUAUCUCUAGAUUAAUUUCGAUUUUGUCUAAUUUUUUAUUUACUAUGUAUUGUAUAUUUAUUUUGUAUACUAAUAAAAACUCUGAAAAUUUUACAAUAAUAGUUAUAAUUUUAUAUCAUUAAUUAAUCAAAUUAACUGCACAGCCAAUAUUCAUCAAUUUUACAAUUUAAUUUUUUAUACACUAAUUUGAUCAAUUUUAGUUUUUAUACUUUUAAAAUUUUAAAAUUUCAGUUUUGACUCAAAAUAAUAGUACUUAAUCUUAUUUGAUUAAAUUCUACUAUUAGUCAUGUCCUAUGGAUAAGUCGUGGAUUUACUGCAUGUUUUUCAAUUAAAUUAUUUUCAGUGCUUAUAUUUUUUGAAAUUUAAAAUUAAAAUCUUCACUAAAAAAUUAAUAAUUAAAUCUAUUAAUUGACAUUAAAAUCUACUAAUAGUCUUGUUAAAAUCUUUCAGUUACUCAAUUAUAAAAUUAUCAAAAACAUCCUGAAAAAAAAAGUACUGCAUGCUUUAGUAAAUUCAUAAUAAAUAACUAAAUUAUUAUAAAAAAUUACACACUAUUCAUGUAAUCCUUUUACAAACACCCAAAGAUAUGAUCUUUGACAAUUUUUUUCUUUUUUCUCUUUAAUUUCAUAUUUUCUUCUAAACAUUUUAUGAAUUCCUUUAAACUUACAUUUCAUUUUGAAUAAGCAAACAAUAUAAGAUAUGUUGUAAUGGCUGUUAUGUGUGUUUUUUUUUUUUUUUUUAAAUUUCUAACUUAAAUUGAAGACAGCCAUAACAUUUUAAAAUUCAAUCUAGAGAUUUCUUAAUCUCAAUUUGGUGAAGAUUGAUAUGGUGAAAUAAGUCAAGAAAAGAAUCAGAUUACUUUGAAAGACAUAGGCAACUACUUUUGGGUGGGCAUAGGAGGGUUGAGAUUGGAAUUUUUUAAAAAUCCGACAUUGAAUUGACUUGGUCCGAAUCAUGAAUAUCUCUAAUUAAAAAUUAUACAAUAUAAAAAAUAAAUAUUGGGUUCGUGCCUAAACACUCUAUUGCUUGGAUGGCAAUCUUAAACAAACUUCUCACUGGCGAUAGAUUGUUUAGUGAUGGUAUGAGUUUUGAUCGUCGUUGUCUGUUGUGCUCUGAUGCUUUUGAGUUUUGAAAUCAAAUUUUUUUUAGUGUUUCUAUUCUAGAGGUUUGUGGCAACUUGUUCUGGGUUUAUGUGGCAUAGGAAGUCUGUUGGUACGUGGCUUCAAGAAUUUAACUAGGUAAUUUCCUGUUUGAAAUGUAAAUAAUUCCUUGUCUAUCUGCUCAAGCUGGUAUAGAGAAUGCAAUUGUGUAUUUUAUUUGGUGUGAAAGGAAUAGUAGGCUAUUUGGGAAUUCUUCUAAUUAUGUUGAAGUUUUGUUGAAAAAAGUUACAAAUGUACAUUUUGGUCUUAGUGAUAGAUGUCUCACUGAUUUAGACCCUGUCAAUAACUGAUUAUGUUUGCAAGGAGUUUGAGAAAUGCAUAGGAUAGGCUUCUGGUUUUGGUUGAUGUAAUCUGUUAUAUUUUUUGGUUUUGUAUAAGUUCUUAUUGUACAAUUAUAAUUUGGUGGUUGUGGAUUAUUGAAUUAUUGAGUUAUAAUAAAAGAAACCCAAAAAACACACAAUUUUGAACUUAACCUAUCUGUUGCGGAAAGGAUCGAUUCGAGAACUCCGAUAUGACUACAAGUAAAUUGACCGAAACGAAAAAUAAAGUGAACACAAGGAUUUACGUGGUUCGGCUUUAAAGCCUACGUCCACGGGCAGAGGCGAAAAGAAAUUUCACUAUAACAAGAUGAAGAUUACAAGUGUUUUACACUCAAGACACAACCCGAGAACCUCACAACUCUCAAUCCCUAUAGAAAACCCGAAAGCUAAAAUCCUAGCUUUCAAAGAACAAGCUUUGCUCUCUCUUGGUUUGGGAUGAUCAAUAUGGCUAAUGAACCUCUCUAUUUAUAAGAGAGUUCAAGGACAUAAUUGUCCAAAACUUUGGCAAAGAUUUGUGGUUGAAAAUGGACACCAACAACCAUCCACUAAUCCACUACCACCAACAACCCACUACCAACAACAACAAUCCACUACCAAUUUUAAGCCAUUUCUUAACAAAUCUCCACCUUGGCUUGAAAUUUACCAAGCUGAACAUCAUAGUGAACUGGAUCACCUCUUCCAAACGCCUCUCUGGCGCUAAUCAAUCCCGAAUACCUAUCAAGUCCAAGCAAUGCUUGAACUUAUAUGCAGGGAUCACCUUAGUUAACAUAUCUGCAGGAUUCUUCUCGGUAGCAACCUUGCUGAUAACAAUGUCACCUUGCGUAACAUGUUCCCGAACAAAAUGAUAUCUGACAUCAAUGUGUUUGGUCCGUUCAUGAAACAUCUGAUUUUUAGUCAGAUGUAUGGCACUCUGGCUAUCGCAAAAUACAACAGUGAAAUCCUGUUGUAAACCCAAACUGCUUACUAGACCUUUCAUCCACAAUGCUUCUUUCACUGCUUCUGCUAACGCCAUAUAUUCCGCCUCAGUCGUAGAUAAGGCUACGGUAGACUGUAACACAGCUUUCCAACUAAUGGCUCCUCCAGAAUAAGUGAAAACAUAACCCGUCAGAGAUCUUCUUUUGUCCAGAUCUCCAGCAUAAUCAGAGUCCGCAUAGCCCGUGACACUGCUAGUGCAGUCACUCUGAUCAUAUACCAAGCAUAAAUCUGCAGAACCUCUCAAGUACCUGAGAAUCCAUUUCACGGCCUGCCAGUGUUCCUUGCCAGGACAACUCAUGUAUCUGCUGACCACACUAACUGCAUGUGAAAUGUCUGGACGAGUGCAAACCAUUGCAUACAUCACGCUUCCAACUGCACUCGAGUAUGGAAUGUGAGACAUUUGCUGCUUUUCUUCAUCAGAUUGUGGUGACAACUCUGCAGAGAGUUUGAAAUGUGGUGCCAACGGAGUACUCACAGUUUUCGCUUUAUCCAUGCCGAAGCGUUGAAGAACCUUUUCAAUGUAGUUCUUCUGCGACACACGAAGCUUGCCCGCCUUGCGAUCUCUGUGAAUAUCCAUGCCCAAAAUUUUCUUGGCAGCACCCAGAUCCUUCAUCUCGAACUCACCACUCAACUGCGACUUUAACUUGUUGAUUUCCGACAUGUUUUUGGAAGCAAUUAACAUGUCAUCAACAUACAGCAACAAAUAAAUGUGCGAACCAUCUGAGAGCUUCCGAUGAUAGACACAAGCAUCAUAGUCACAUCUUGUGUAACCAUGCUGAAUCAUGAAGCUAUCAAACCGCUUGUACCACUGCCUUGGGGAUUGUUUCAAUCCAUAUAAAGACUUCUUUAAUAGACAGACAUGGUCUUCUUUACCAGGAACUGUAAAACCCUCUGGUUGACGCAUGUAGAUUGUUUCCUCGAGCUCACCAUGCAAGAACGCCGUUUUUACGUCAAGCUGCUCAAGUUCUAGAUCAGACUUGGCCACCAUGGCAAGUAAUAUACGAAUGGAAGAAUGCUUUACGACUGGGGAGAAAACUUCAUUGUAGUCAAUCCCCUCUUUCUGAGUGAAGCCUUUAGCAACCAAUCGUGCCUUGAAUCUAGUUGCUUCAACCCCUAGGAUGCCUUCCUUUUUCUUGAAGACCCAUUUGCAACCAACUAUCUUCUGGUUACUUGGCGGCUUAACCAACUCCCAAGUAUGGUUCUUGUGAAGAGAUUCUAUCUCCUCACUCAUAGCAAUUGCCCACUGUGCCGACUCAUCACACGUGACAGCCUCAUUAUAACUGGAAGGUUCUAUACCAAUGGACUCCGCCACACUGAGCGCGAAAGACACCAGAUUAGCGUAACGCGGAUUUGGUUUGAUUUGUCUCUUCGUUCUUCCAGUGGCAAUGCUAUAUGGUUUUUCUUGAGGUGACUCAUCUUCAUCGGAAUCUUGCACCUCAACUUGAUCAUCCUGGACUGAAGUACCUUCCGUAGGAAUUGGAGCGUCCACCUGACACUCCACCUGCUUCUCAACACCGUGAUCUCCCAUUCUAUCUGACUCCUCCUUUUCCCGGGAAUUUGUGGUGGAUCGAAGCAUGGAUGACUCAUCAAAAGUCACAUCUCUGCUGAUGAUGAACUUGGACGAAACCGGAUCAGGACACCACAACCUGUAUCCUUUCACCCCUUGGCCGUAUCCAAGAAAUAUGCAUUUCUUCGCCCUCGGUUUGAGUUUUCCCUCAUUUACAUGAGCAUACGCAGGGCAGCCAAACACUCUUAAACCAGAGUAAUCAGCAGGAGAACCAGACCAUACUUCCUCAGGAGUCUUCAGCUCAAUAGCUGUUGACGGAGAUCUGUUAACCAAAUAACAAGCAGUAUUAACAGCUUCAGCCCAAAAUUCUUCACCGAGCCCAGCAUUUGAUCGCAUGCAACGAGCUCGCUCCAAGAGAGUUCUAUUCAUGCGUUCUGCAACUCCAUUUUGUUGUGGUGUUCGACGAAUAGUGCGGUGUCUCACUAUUCCUUCAUUCUUGCAGAACUCAUUGAAUUCACCUGAGCAAAACUCCAAGCCAUUAUCCGUCCGGAAUCGCUUGAUCUUCUUUCCUGUUUGAUUUUCGAUCAAAGCUUUAAAUUGCUUGAAGUUGAUGAGAACCUCAUACUUGCUCUUCAGAAAAUACACCCAAACCUUUCUCGAGUAAUCAUCGAUAAAGGUAAGCAGAUAUCUGUAACCACCUUUAGAAAUUGUCGGAGAAGGCCCCCAAAGGUCAGAAUGGAAGUAAUCCACUGUGCCUUUUGUCUUGUGAAUCCCAGUGCUGAACUUUACCCGAGUCUGCUUACCGAAGACGCAGUGCUCACAGAAAUUCAACUUUCCUGUACACUGCCCAGACAAUAAUCCUCGUUUGCUUAGCACCGAUAAGCCUCUCUCGCUCAUAUGCCCGAGCCGCAUAUGCCAUAACUUCGUGGUGUCAGAAUCUAGAUCAUCUGAUGAUGACACUCCCGCAACACCUGUAACCGAGGAACCAUCGAGGAAGUAAAGGCCCCGCUCCAAAUUACCACGUAUCACAGUCAAAGCACCCGAGAAUACCUUGAGAACUCCACCUUCAGCAGAGUACCGAAAGCCUUUCUUGUCCAACGUACUCAAAGAGAUCAAAUUUUUCUUCAUUUCUGGAAUGUGCCGAACAUCAGUUAGAGUUCUAACAAUACCGUCAAACAUCUUUAUACGAACUGUGCCAAUCCCCAUGACUUGACAUGCGUGGUCAUUUCCCAUUAGUACUGAACCAGAAUGCUUCUCGUAUGUUGAGAAUGCAUCUUUCGAAGUACUUAUAUGAAAUGUAGCUCCCGUAUCAAGAAUCCAUCUCCCACCAGCGUAAGAGUCGGAUACUGCAAGAACGAUCUCGGCAUCACUUGAAGAAUCUGCAUCAGCUACAUUCGCACGAUCAUUUUGUUGCUCCUGUGAUUCUGAUUUCUCCUUCCUUUUCGGACAAUCUACCUUCAUGUGCCCGUACUUCUUACAGUAGUAGCACUGUAUUCUCUUCUUGGACUGCGAUCUAGGAUGGCUUUUACUUGAACUUCCACCCUUUGCCUUGGAUCUUCCUCGAGCAACCAAGCCUUCGCCUUCAUUGUUUUCGACCACCUUACCAGUGAUUUUCUUCCUCAACUCACUGGAACUUAAGGCAUUUUUCACCUCCUCUAGAGUCAGGUCAUCACGACCGUACAUCAUUGUAUCAACAAAAUUCUCAUACGAGGGAGGCAAAGAACACAAAACAAUUAUUGCUUGGUCCUCAUCAUCGAUUUUGUUAUCGAUAUUAUUCAAAUCCAUGAUAAUGGAAUUGAAUUUAUCCAGGUGCUGGGAAACAGGUGUACCUUCCUCCAUCUUCAGGGCAUAGAGUCUUUGCUUGAGGUAGAGCCGGUUCGUCAAUGACUUCGUCAUGUACUUGCUUUCUAACCGGAGCCACAAACCGGACGCGGUUUUCUCAUCCGCUACUUCUCGUAGCACUUCAUCUCCUAGACAUAGCAGAAUAGCACUAUGUGCUCUUUCUAGCAUGUCAUCCUUUUGCUCUUCCGAAAGCGUGCUUGGUAAUUUAUCUUUACCAGACAAUGCUUUUAGCAAUCCUUGUUGAACCAGCACUGCCCGCAUCUUGAUGCGCCAUAAACUGAAACUAUUUUUCCCGGUAAAUUUCUCGACAUCAUACUUAGUCGAUGAAACACUUGUAGCCAUAAUUUGGAACCUUUGAAUGAAUGAUAAUAUUUUCUUCCUGAUGUGAAAGAUCAGACAAAGCUGCAGUCACAGGGCAAUUCAGAAAAUAUUAUCACUCCUUCAACUACGCUCUGAUACCAAUUUGUUGCGGAAAGGAUCGAUUCGAGAACUCCGAUAUGACUACAAGUAAAUUGACCGAAACGAAAAAUAAAGUGAACACAAGGAUUUACGUGGUUCGGCUUUAAAGCCUACGUCCACGGGCAGAGGCGAAAAGAAAUUUCACUAUAACAAGAUGAAGAUUACAAGUGUUUUACACUCAAGACACAACCCGAGAACCUCACAACUCUCAAUCCCUAUAGAAAACCCGAAAGCUAAAAUCCUAGCUUUCAAAGAACAAGCUUUGCUCUCUCUUGGUUUGGGAUGAUCAAUAUGGCUAAUGAACCUCUCUAUUUAUAAGAGAGUUCAAGGACAUAAUUGUCCAAAACUUUGGCAAAGAUUUGUGGUUGAAAAUGGACACCAACAACCAUCCACUAAUCCACUACCACCAACAACCCACUACCAACAACAACAAUCCACUACCAAUUUUAAGCCAUUUCUUAACACUAUCUAUAUAUAUUCUUCUUAAUUAAAGAAAAAAAAAACCCUAAAACACCAUGAAGUCACUAUACAUUCAAAUGCAUAUCCCAUAUGCAUUUCAAUCCGAAUCCUUCAUAACUCAGUCAUUCAUCAAAACUCGGAAUCUGUCAAUUUUUUAUCCAACUCUUUGCCCUCAAUGAUUCGAAGCACAUAAUGUAUUCCAUUAGCUACAUCAUAGACCAUCAAUCCAAUCCUACCACCCAUAUAACCUCCCAAAUGGCUUCCCACAAGAUAACCAAACUUCCCAAGCACUUGUUCACCGAAAAAUCCCCCACCGUAGGCACCAAGCAAUGUUCCUUUGCCCCUAAAAAACCCUUCCGACAUAGUCCCACCAUAGUAAACAACUUCGAAAAAGUCCCAACCGGACGAAAUGAUCGGACCCGUUACGCGCUCAGCCUUUUGCGUAGCCAGCUUGGCCGCUUUUUUCCCGGCCUUUGUGGCUUGUUUUGCCGCCUCCUUGGAGGACAGGCCUUGUGACAUCGCGUCUUGUAACGCCUUCUGCAUUGCUAAGUUCUUUGAUUUCUCGACAUGAGCGGCUCGGAUGUUGUAGACAUAAAGUUUAACACCUUCUUUCACUGCGCAAGCUAUGGAACCAACUCCCAUAUCAAAGCAAUCCCACAAUGAAAAUUGCCCUGUUUGGGAUAAUACCACUUUCUCUUCCCCAGCCAGUUUCCUGCACUUAUCAGCUAUAACAUGAAAGAAAUGAAAAAGAAAAUUUUUUAAAACCAUACAUAGUAAGUACCUACAUACAUAGGUAAAAGUACCAUAGAGCCCCUAUAUUAGGAGUUGGAUUAUAUUUUACCCAUUUUAUCAAAAAAUGGAUAAAUUUAUCCCAAUACAAUAGAUCAAAGAGCAAGCCGGUCCUUUCUAUUAAAAAUUUCAUCAAUUUUUACUGUUAAAAAUUGACGUGGUUGAUGAAACAACUAGACAAUUACCUAGUGCAUGUCAUGUUGACAUAUAAAGGUAAAUUUUUAACAAUGAAAAUGAAAGUUUUUAACAUAAGACUAAUUUGCUAUUUGAUCUAAAGUACAAGAAUUAAUUUACUCAUUUUUUAAGUAAAUGAGCACAAUUUAGUCUGACUUAUAAUACAAAAGCCUCCACAAUACUUUUACCUAUCUCUAUACAUAACUAACAUUGAGCAAAAUAUGCACGUAAAAGCUAAGAAAAAGAAGCUAGAUAAAGUAAAUUCAAACAAGGAUGAAAGUUUUUUGCUAGCUCAUGAUGCUUCUUCAACUUGAUUUUUAUGUAUAUAUACUCGCUCAAAAUCGAAUUUUAUUCGAUACUUUAGCUUUCUAUUUCGACCAUAACUCUUAAAAGAUUUAUCUAAUCCCAAUCCCAUGACUAUUCAUAUGAAAAUUUACAUAAUGUUUUAUAUUAUAUUAGCUUUUACAAAAUUAAUCCCAUUUAUAUGUUACAAAAAUAUAAAAAGUGACAUUUUAAUAAAUAUAUCUAAGCGAAACAGAAAUUAAUUCUAAAAAUUUUAAUAAAAAACUCGACCUUGGUUCAAACUCAAUUUUUAAAAACAAAAAAUCACCCUAUAUGGCUGGGGUGGAUGGAAUCUCGAUAACUUGAAAGGGUUUUUGUCGGGUUUGUAUUUCACACGAGUAUAUUAAAACUUUUAUAAAUUAUUUCAUAUAUUUUUGAAAGAUUCUAUACACAUUCUCAUGUUUGAAUGUGCUGAAUCCAAAUAUGUACUUCAAAAUAAAAAAUCGAAAUAACUCUAAACAGAUAUACCAAUUUGAUCCAUAAAAGAUAACAAAGAAGAGAGAACAAUCAAGAACAUUGAAUUUUACAAACUUGAAAUUAACUUGGAGAUUUAAAUUCCAACAUUUACGACUUCUUUUAUUUUCCAGACCAAAUGCAAAAACGAGGACGUUUUGAGGCUGUUACCUGUCUUACUGAGAAGGGUGAGUCCAAGGAUGAAGAGCAGCAGCUGAACUCUUUUUUUGUUGAGAUCCAUUGGCAACAGUUAAAAAAUGACAGAAAAAAAAUUGGCUAAUCCUAUUUACUACUAUUUUUGUUACUCCUAAUUUGAAGGAUCAAGGAGGAAGAAGACCAGAUCUAUGGCUGCCACGUCUACUCAAUUAUUAAGCUAAGCAACUGAUGGAAUUUAUCCAACAACAUUUUUUGCAGAAAUUUAUUUUCAUUGAAAAUUAUUGAAAUACAACAAAACCUAUUCAUACAUAAUCAAAACACACUUUGAUCCAAUCUCCAGUAAAUUAUACCAACUUUAGAGACAUGUUUUUUUCCCGUCAAACUACAUACCCAUAGUAGCCCAAGACACAUACAGCUUUCGACCAACAUGGUCCAACUUUCGAUAGUAUGCAUGCCUCCAAGACCUGAUGAAAAACAAGGGAGCCACUACACCCCAAAAUCCCAUUACAAAGCCGAGAACUAUGCUGACAUAAAGCCAAUUCACUUUACUUCCUUCCCUGCUACUUCCAUUAUUUGCAACGUCAAUUGGAAUACCUUUUGAGGUGCAGUUCUUAGUGAGAGGAGGUCCACAAAGAUGAUUGCCCACGUAAGACAAGUUUUCAAAGCUUUGAAGCUGAGUGCUUGUUGGGAUUUGUCCUGUCAAGUUGUUGUGGGACACAUUGAAGUGAUUCAAGAAACUCAAAUUGGAGAAACUUGGAGGGAUUUCACCAUUUAGUCGAUUCAUGGACAAAUCAAGAGAUUCCAUUAACUCUAUGUUGCCAAUGCUGUCUGGUAUAUUUCCUGUUAGGAGAUUCCCUGAAAAAUUUAAAGACAAUAGUCCAACGAGACUACCAAUUUCUUUGGGGAUCUCUCCUGUGAGACUGUUAUCUGAAAGGUCCAUGCUCGUAACAAGUCCUAGUGUGCUACCAUAUUCAUCCUCUCGUCCUUUCAACACCAAUAAUGCGUUCAAAAAAAAGGAGUCAGCAUCUACAUACUUCACAAAAACAAAAUUAUUGGUUUUGUUUGUUGUGGCCAUUGCACUUAAAUUAUUGAAACAUUUUGGAAUAACUCCAGAAAUGUUGUUGUGGGCAAGGUCCAAGUUUUGAAGAAAUUGAAGAUCACAAAUUUUAUGAGGAAUAUGUCCAUCAAAGUUAUUUGAUCGAAGGCUUAGAGUCACAAGGUUUGAGAGCUUAUCACCAAUCCAUGCUGGUACACUUCCACUGAAAUGAUUUUCACUAAGAUCAAACAUAAUGAAAUUUGGAGAAUUUUGCAAUGUGGAUGGCAAUUCUCCAAACAUGGUAUUGUUUCGAAGGUUUAGCAUUAUAAAAUUUAGAUGCCAUAAAGAAGGUGGGAUUUUGCCGGUCAAAUUGUUGCUUCCCAAAUUUAAAAGGCCUAAAACCUGCCAAUGAUUCCAACAAUCUGGAAUAUCUCCUGAGAUAAGAUUUUUAUCAAUGUAAAGAAUUUCCAUAAAUUCCCCACUUGAUGAAUUACAAACUAAUUCAAAAAGAGAUCCCGAAAAUGAAUUAUUUGAUAAAAUUAGAAAUCGUAAACUUGGGAAUACUCUUGGCAAUGGGCCUAUGAAUCGGUUUGAACUCAAAUCAACAAAGCUGCUCACAUUCAAAUAUGAAAUCUCUCCUCUAAGUUGAUUCGAGGAAAGGUUUAAAUAUUCAAAUGGAGUGGGAAGGUUCAAAAACCAAGUGGGCAUGACAUCUGAAAUUCCUGCAUAGGAGAUAUCCAAAUAAGACAAUUUCUUUUGGAAUUUUAGCCACUGGGGAAACUUUGGGCCAAGAUGCCAGUGACCCAAUUCGAUACUUUCACAUUGAAAUGGGGGAAUCCAGCUUGAGUUUGAUUCAAAUCUAAGCCGAUUGUGUGAUGCUGCUAGAGUUGUCAAUCUCGUGAGAUUAGAAAAAUGGGUUUCUGAUACAACGCCUUCUAAUAGAUUAUACCCACAAUCCAGAGUUUCCAAACUUUCUAGUCGUCCAAAAGAUAGAGGAAAUGUACCAUUAAAUUGAUUUUCUGAAACAUCAAAUACCUCCAAAGAUGACAACGGCCCUAUAGACAAGGGAAUUUGGCCGUUUAAUUGAUUUUUUGAAACAUCAAACCACUUCAGAGAUGAUAACUCCCCUAUAGACAAUGGAAUUUGACCAUUUAAUUGAUUUUCUGAAACAUCAAACUCCUCCAAAGAUGACAACUGCCCUAUAGACAAUGGAAUUUGACCAUUUAAUUGAUUUUCUGAAACAUCAAACAACUUCAGAGAUGAUAACUCCCCUAUAGACAAUGGAAUUUGACCAUUUAAUUGAUUUACCGAAAGAUCAAGCUGAGUAACAGAGCUCAAGUUUCCAAUGGCACUCGAGAUUGUUCCUUGUAACUGGUUAUAGCCAAGACUAAGGAACUGAAGACGGUUUAAACUGUACAAGGAGUUGGGUAUGGAUGAAUUGAGAUGAUUCCCACUAAGAUCAAGAACUUCAAGAAACGAGAUGUUCCGAAAGUAAUCUGGAAUUGGGCCUUCCAAAGAAUUGACACUAAGAUCAAUGGACACAAGACCAUGAAGACUAAAUAUCCACUUAGGUACUGAAGAUAAGCUGUUCCAAGAAAGAUCAAGAACAACCAGUGAUUUUG